This 73523-nucleotide long non-coding RNA is filed under the name Cucumis sativus (cucumber). RNAcentral's name for it is "long non-coding RNA (CSAT_LNC000616)". Lineage: Eukaryota; Viridiplantae; Streptophyta; Magnoliopsida; Cucurbitales; Cucurbitaceae. The record is from RNAcentral.
UAUUGGAGGUUAAGUUGUCUUGGAUUUGCCAUCAGGGCAUAGGAAAGAAGGUGAGGAAAAAGUUGCGGCGUCUUCUCUGGUGUGCUACGAUUUACUUCAUUUGGCAUGAGCGUAAUCAUCGUCUUCAUGGAGGUCAAGUUCGUGAGGCUAUGAUUAUUUUCCAGCUCAUUCGAUUGUGCAUUCGGGCUCGUGCUGCUUCUUGAUCGGAAGAUGUUCAUGGUUUUAUUUAGUGUGCUUUUAUUUUCUGCUUGUCCCCGAGCUGUGGGGUUUUAUUUGUCAUUGUUAUUUCUUUGGUUUAGCUUAUUUUUCUUCUCUUAUUCCGUUUGAUCUGGAUAGUGUCGUUUUCUAGACUUCUAAUUUUUAUUUUGUCUGCGAUGAUAUUUCAUAUUCUUAAUUGGUUUUUUGUUUUUGUGCUUGUCCCCGGGCCGUGGGAUUUUAUCGUUAUCUUUAGGAUGUCGUUUGGUUUUUACUUAUCUUCUCAGUGUGAGCAUUUUCCGCUUUUGUGCCUUGACCUCAGACUAUGAGGUCCUCCUUGUGGUUCUAUAAUAUUAUCAUUACCUUUUCAAAAAAAAAAAAAAAAAAAAACUAACGAAAAGAACCAAGCAAUUGAAAUAGAAAAGUAGGAAAUGAAAUAUUGCAAGCAUAUAAAGCACAUAUCAAUAACAGAAUACCGAACGAGCGACUGUCGAUCAGGUUGAAUUUGUGUGUCAUGUAACUCAUUCGACUAAAGGUCAUUCUUCAACACCUUCCUUUUUCGAUCAUGUUUUGGACUUGUAUUAUACAUCUUGAGUUGCCACACCAUGGCGACACUACGCCCAUUCUUACUUUUCUCAUUGUUUCGGUUGACAUCCAAAUAAUGUUUUAGUUUUCAGACACAUUUACCUUCUUUUUCUUUUUCUUCGCCAUCUUCAAUUUAAAUUAAUGUUAGCUCAUUUAAAUGAAAUAAACUCAAAAAGAAAAAAAAUCAACAAGAAUAAAGAUGAAUUUGGACGAGUGGACAAGUAACUUUAGCUUUAAGCAUCAAAAUACCAACCUCUUUUCAGAAAGUAAAUAUGUGCUUUUUUCUUUCUUUUUAUUCAUUGUUUUUCUACAUUUUGAUAGAAUAAUCGAACAUUUGUUAGAGAAGAAAUCAAGAAAUAAGACGUUACGUUUCUUCUCUUUCUAAUGCGUACGUGAAGUGAACAAACCAACCAAAACAAAAUAAAACAAUCGACACCUGAUUUGGAAAUUAAGCGAGACUACCACAGCUAAAAAGGGUUAUGAGUCAACAACGAAGGAAAGUGUGGAACUUCGAGUAGACUACAAGUCAUAAUCUAUCUGGGGUUUCGAAAAGGGGUUUUAGAAGAAGAUGAUUGAAUAUUUGCGAGGAACAAGGGUCGUUUCAAUUUGGACGAAGAAAUUCUAAGGUUGGGAGAAAAAAGAUUUUUGCAUCGAAGAUAGUGUCAAAUUUGGAGUUUAAAUAGAAAGUAAUAACAAGUUAGGGUGAACUUCACGUGCGUCCUCUGCCACCGGUGAAACGAACUCGCCAGUACUACUGGCGUUUGUCUCUCUAAAUAACUCGACACAGUUCACUAGGCUAUUGCGUGUUAUUGUGAGCUCAACUUGUCGUUGAAGGAACGACUUAGAAUCGAUCUUGUGGUUGUAAAGCCGUUUCGCUCUAGCAGCCUUAAAAGCACUUGAUUGCUCCUUCAAUCAGACAAAGUGUAAUUAAAAUGUUAUAUCCAAACAAAAAUUAAAUGAAUUACCGUUAAUUGAUUUUUAAGGUAGAUGUGAUAUAAAUCACCUGAAACUGUCGAGUCAUAUAGUGGUCACAAAGAAAGUGCUAAUUUGGCACUCGAUUGACCAAUAUGGGCGGUGGGUCUAUAAAAUUCAUUUUCUAAAAAACAUACAUUACACAUAGAUUAUAUAAUAUCAAGAUACAAUCUCAAAUUUACACAUCCAAUCUCAAACUUACAUAUAAAAAUUCAUACAUUUUUAUAUAAAAACAUACAUAAUAUAUUACACAUGCAUACAUCUAUUGCAUGGAUUACACGUACAAAAUUACAUAAUAGAUUACAAAAAAUACAAUGAAAUUCAAACUACACAUGCAUACAUUUCAAACUAUACAUAUUAAAACAUACAUAAUAUAUUGCACAUUCUUACAUUUCAAACUAUAUAAGUUUCAAAACAAAAAAAUAGACAAAAUUUUAUACCAAGCAAAUCAACAAUGGAGGACGAGGGUGGAGCAUGGAGCGGUGGGUGAUGGACGAGCGACGGCGAACAAUAGCGACGGACGAGCGGUGACUCUUCUUCUUCUCCCCUCUCUUUCUCUUCUUCUUUUCUUUUCUCUUUCGCAGUCUCUGUGUUAUGUGUUUACAUAACAAAUAGGGAAAGGAAAGACCGACACAACAUGAAAACGUCGACAUUUCCAGUCUUUCUCUGACAUUUCACUAAUGGUCGUAGUAAUUAAUGUGUAGACCUUUGUCGUCGUGGUCAAUGCUGACAUGGGCAAAGGUUUAAUUAUAAAAUUCAAUUUUAACAUUUGCCAACGUACGGAUAAAUCCUCCAGACUCCGGACGGAUUCAAACCUUUGCCGACGUGGUGUGUAAGAACGUCGGCAAAAGUCCAACCAUAAAACUUACUUUAUAACUUUCUCCGAUGUCCUCUGUGUCUGCGUCGAGGAGAGUGAAAUAAAAAAUUCAAUUUUUAUUUAUCCCUAACGUGGUUUACGUUUGCGUUGGCCUUGUCACCUUAUUCCAACGUGUAUUUCACGACGUUGACGUUUCCUCUCAUUGUCGGCAUUGUUUACGACAUCAAAAUAAUCCAUUUUAUUGUAGUGAUUUCUUAGUUUUCUAUGGAUCAAUUAUUUUUUCAUAAAUAAUCUUUUUUUUGGUUUCUAUGGUAAAAAUGAUGGGUUGGAAGGCAUGAAUUGUCACAUUUAUAUUUAUUUUAUCAUUAACAUUUAAGUUUAAUCACUAACCACAUCACAACAUAAAAAUAAAUAUAAAUGUGAUAAAUUCAUAAUUCUUCCUAAACAAGAUUAAAAAACAAUUUAGUUACGACUUAUAUUUAUUACUAUUAAUCUAUCCAUGAAAUUGGAUUACCAUGACACCAAUUUUGCUAAUUUCAAUGCUUUAGGAUUUAAUGAUGGUGCAAGUUGGGCAUUUGACUCAUUAUUUGUCCCAAAAGUUUCUUGCAAGGCUUUAACCCUUAAACCCACAAUUUCUCCCUCGCGACACCUACUCCACGCUGCGACCUCUUGAACGCGACUCCUUCUGCACGCCAGUGACCAGCUCGCAACAAACAGACAGCGGCGCACCAUCGGAGCGGGUUCUGUUCUGUAAAAAGUCCUCUUCUCUCCCGUUACCAGCUACUGCAGACCUCCCCGCCGCACGCUUCCCUCUCAGCUGCCACAGUCUCUGCCACCCACGAACUCACCGCCGCUCCCUCCAUCAGGCACUUAUUUCGGUCGUGUUGUUAGCUUACUCCGAAACAGAAACUGUGGUUCAGCUCCUAACGCCCGGCGUUCGUGGUCGCGCCGCUGCUCAUUCUUAGAAGAAAAUCACAUAACCAAUUCGUUUGAACUGAUUUUAUAUCCUCCCAAAUUUAAGGGUUCGAAACAGGGGAUAGUCUGUCCAUGGCCGCAGAAUCAACGCAGUCUACGUCUUCUCAAAAGAGAAGGCUAAAGAGGAAGAAAACCCAGAAAGACCCAGAAUUCGAACGUCUCGAUUCACUCCCGUGGAACUCAUCAAUCCCUAUCGACGACACUUUAUCUGCAUUUAUUGGUUCCAAUGAUCUCGAAGGAGGUUUGUACUUGUUUGUUCGUUCUUCUGUAUGCUUUGCUUUAGAGGUUUUCGUUAUAUUUGUGUGCAUUCUAAACCAAUACUGUUGUGUCUGUGACCAUUACUUUCUGCAGUCUUCAAAUGUAUGUAUCUACAUCGUUUGUUUAUUGUUACAUGACCUGAACAGGUUUCUUCAUCUUGUCAAGUUAUUAUUCAGUUUAUAGUUUUAUGCAUUUUUUUUUAUCGGCAGUGCUGAAAAAUAAUUGGGAUGGGCAUUGAAUAUAUAUAUAUUUUUAUUGGCUUGACACAUAUUAUUGAUGCUGAACGAGAAUUUAUGUUUGUGGGGUUUUGGGGUUUUACUGUUCAAUCAAAUCCUUUAGUAAUCAGUACAAAUAUUGCAAUAUACUAUAGGAUUUCUUUCCCUUGAGGAGAUUGACGAAGCUGAGUAUGGCAUGGUGAUUCCUGAACCUGACACAAGGAAACACAAAUUGAUACCAAAAGCCAGUGGAAAUACAAGGAAAGAGGAGCAAAACAAUGCUGAUUACUGUGAGGAUGCAUCAAGAGGUAGCAAUGAUAGUAUUGAUAAGGAAGCCGCGGGGCACAAUGUUAAUACGAAAACUAGCAAAAAAGGGAAAAAGGAGAAGAAGAAAAAGAAGAAAAAAAAGGUCAUUCAUGAAGUCCCAACGGCAGAGAAAGAUGUGGCUAUAGAUAUUGGUGGCAAUGAUAAUGAUGGGAUUGAGACAGAGAUUGGAGAUGAAAUGGACGAUGAUGAUCAUUUGGAGACGGAGAAGAAGCAACAAAAGAAAGAAAAAGAAACAAAGGACCAUGGAAUUGGUUGGUAUUAUUAUCAUAUAUAAUUUUGUGGAGCAUCAUAUUCUUUGUUUUUUGUACAGCAUUUGAUCAUUAAAUAUUGUUAUUAUUAUUUAUUCAUUGAAAUUUGUUAUGUAUUAUUCAGGGAGAAAAUAUAUUUAUUUGAUAUUUGUGAUUUUGAGGUUAUAAUUUGAUCAUUUGACCUCUUUUUGGAAGAGUGACUUCAAUGAGAACAUUUUUUCUUUUGGAGGUGGGAACUACUAAUGAGGUUUCAUUGUUGGAAGAAAUGUACAAAAACGAUAGUGAACUACCAAACUACCAUAGGUAGAUUACAAAAAGACCUAAACAAAAACCAAGUGACUAAGGUAGAAAGUCUCUAAAGGAGGGGUGUACUUACAUCAGUAGAUAGACAAAGCCCAAAUUCCACAACCUUUCAAGAAAAGGUAAGCUUAUCAAUGUUGAAAAUCCAGUUGUUCCUUUAUCCCCAAAGGUUCCAAAGAAAAAUUCUAUUCUUAUAAAGCCAUAUAGUAACUUUUGUUUAUUAGAAAGGAUGUGCCAUAGAAUUAGUGCUAGAAAGUUCAUGAUAUUGUUAGCCAAUGGUAUUUAGCAUUUCAUUCCAGUAUGCCACAAAUAGACAGUGAUAACAAAGGUGGCAUUGAGUUUCUGAAUUAUCCCUCGCAUUAUUCACGAGCUUGGAGAUUAGGCUGUGUACGACAUUCAUUUUUGCAUUUCAUCAAGAGUACUAACAUGGCUAAGUUCCCAAGUUAAUGCUUUGAUUUUUGGAGUAUAAUCCCUUCCAUAUUGCCGCACAUCCUUAGAAAAGAUGGGGAAUUUAAUAGGGUGGAUGAUUUGGAGGUAGACUUGUUUUCUCCCAAGUUUGGGGAAGUUAGCAAUGAGGUUAAGUUGGCAGUUUGCAAGUUUGUUGUCGACGUAGUCAAUAAAUUAAGGUUUAUAGGAGGUUCGUCAAGUAUGUUUAAGCCUCGUGACACUGGAGGGGGAGUGGGUUUGUCGGCUUGAAUAGGGUGUAAGAGAAUGGGUGUGGUAUGUCUAUGGACUAAAUACAUAAUUGUCUCUAUUAGAGCCUAGAUGAAGAUGGUGAUGAUUGGGUUGGUUAGAUGAGGAGCUAUUGAAGCCCAAGUUUAAGGAGAAUUGCCCCAAUGUUUCAUCGAUUUGGCAAGGAGUUUAAACUAGUGUUAGGGUUUUGAGGGAGCAGUUUUCUAAAAAGCCUAUGGAGCGUGUGCCUAGGCUCAAGGCCUAGGUUUGGCACCUAGCCUUUAACAAAAUAAGGCAUGCCUUUUGUGAAGCUCCUUGCACUUUGGGGAUUUUUCAUUUUUUUUUUAAAACAUAAUAUUUUGGAGGUUUAACUAAAAAAAUCAAAUUUACAAAGUCUUAAUGCAAAAUUACUAACCAUCAUGGAUUGGCCUAGUGGUAAAAAAUCUAUCCCUUGGUAAUCGUCAAUCCCUUAAAACCACCACAUAUAUUCCAUUCUUGGUUAAACCCCUGAACUCCCAUGGCUACAUCAUUUAGUUCCCUUCUAGCUUAUAACUAUGAGAUUCCAUGCAUCUUGCUAUUUGAUCCCACUUUUCACUUACCAACCCAUACUUUAACUUUGAAGAUGAAUGGGAUUCUUGUCAAUAUUGGUUCCUCUCUUAACAAUUCUAUUAGGAUUCUUUUCUUGAAAAUCAGUAAAUCCCUACAAUAAAUGGAGGAACGUGGACAAUACUCUGAGAUAAUAUAUUGAAUGUAAAUCAACAAGAAUUCACAAGGAAAUUAACAAUACAAGAUAUUGCAAGAUAAAACAGAAAAGGAAACAAUAACAAGCUAACAAAGGAAACACAUGUUACUCCAACUCCUUUGAGAAGGCUGGCCUUUUCUUCCAAAAGCUUUUAGCAGCUUUUCACGCAAUUAUGACCUUUUUCGGCAAUCCCCAAACCAUCCUCUUAUAUCCCCUCCCAGGUGGGUCCCUUAACUGGUUCUUACCUCUCCACUAACCGCCCCAAAAGUUGUCUUUUGUGUAAUACCCAUAUUACCUCUACCAACCUUGCUCUUACGCUUAUACGUGUGAAUGAUUGGAGGUCUAACAUUACCGCUCGACUCGAAAUGCACCUUGUCUCUUGUUGGAAUGUAGGAAACUGUUUAUUCAUCAGAUAAACUGAUUCCCUUGUAGCUUCACUGUUGGAUAGUCCCUUCCAAUUUACCAACCAUUCAUUUGCCUCUAAUUCACUAUUCCACCAUACCCGUAACAUAGUUUCAAGCAACAGUUGCAGUUUGAAUUCCUCCAUCAAUGCUAGUGGUAUGUGCUGCACUUGUUGAGUUUGUCCUAACUUAAGUUUUAUUUGAGAUAUAUGGAAAACAUUAUGAAUAACUACCUCAGGAGGUAAAUCCAACCGAUAAGCCACUUCCCCAAUGGUGUAGAUCACCUUGUAAGGUCCCUAAAAUUAAGGGGCCAACUUCUCACUUUGUUUCUGUGCUAAUGAUCUUUGGCAGUAGGGUUCUAGUUUGAAGUAGACUUCAUCCCCAACAUUAAAUUUCAACUCUCUUCGGUGUAAGUCAAUCUGCUUCUUCAUUCUAUCUUGUGCUAGCACCAAAUUUUCUUUCAAGGCAUUGAUAACCGAGUCUCUAUCUUCCAACAACUGUUUCACAUUGCUAUUCAUAGGUUCCCUAUCUCCAUAUGAAAUCAAUGGAGGCGACAAUCUACUAAACACAAUCUGCAAUGGGGUAGUCUUUGAAGAUGGAUGAAAUGUUGUGUUGUACUGGAGUUUCGCCCAAGGUAUACAUUUAUUCCAUUUGGUUGGCUGUUCAUUGCAAACACAUCGGAGAUACGUUUCUAGACAUUGAUUGUCCCUCUCGGCUUGGCCAUCGCUGUGCGGAUGGAAGGCAAUGCUCUUUUUGAGGAUUGUUCCCAUGGUCGAAAACAAUUCCUUCCAAAAAUUACUCAGGAAUAUCUUGUCAUGAUCUGCUAUUGGUAAUUUUGGAAUUCCAUGUUUGCUCACUACUCUCUCAAUAAAGAUCUUUGCUACUUGCUUGGCUGUGAAUGGAUGUCUGAGAGUGAUGAAAUGCGCAAACUUGCGAAGUUUUUCCACAAUAGCAAUGAUAGAAUUAAACACACCCGCUUUUGGCAAACCUUUUAUAAAAUCCAUUGUCCAAUCUUCAAGGAUUAAGUUUAGAAGUGGCAGCGGCUAUAAGAGGUCGAUUGGUGACAGUGAGUUUGUUUUAUUCCUCUGACAAAUCUCACAUUGCUCCACAUACUUCUUUACGCCAUUUUUCAUACCUAUCAAAUGCAAUUCCCUAUUCAUUCUUUUGUAUGUUCGAAGAAAGCUGGAAUGACCUCCCAAUGUGAAACCAUGAAACAUGUGCAACAGGGAUGGUGUUAAAGAUGACGACUUUGAUAAAACUAACCUCCCUUUGUAUAAUAACCGAUUAUUGACCCAUUGAUUGAUUAAGUUUCCCCUUCGGAUUUUCCUUUAAUAUGUUGACUAUUCGUUGCAAUUCCUUUUCCUUCUUGACUUUGUUUAAGACUACCACCAUAUCCACUAUUCAUGGUCGACAAUAUUGAUAUUUCCACCGGAUGAUUCACCCUUGACAGGGCAUCUACGACUUUGUUUUGAAGCCUGAGCUGGUAUAGGAUUUCAAGAUCAUAACCCAACAACUUUGUCAACCAUCUUUGGAAUUGAGGUUGUACUUCCCUUUGCUCAAUGAGGAACUUCAAUGGAUCACUGUAAACUUCCUUCCUAAUAAGUAAUAGCACCAUUUUGGCACUAGUCGUUACCAUGACCAUUAACUCUCUCACAUAUAUUGAUCUUACUUGCACUUGUGGGGAUAAUUUUUUACUAUAUUACGCAAUAGGCUUAGCACUUGCUCUAAUCCAACUCUUGAAGUAUCGAUCUCUAUUAUGGAAGGCAAUGAAAAAUUCAGAAGAGCUAAGACAUGAACAAACAUCAUGACUUGUUUCAGUUGUUUGAAUGCCCUUGGUCGCUUCCUCAUUCCACUUGAACGCAUUUUUCUAUAAGAGUUUGGUAAGUGGUGCUGCAAUAUCCCCAUAUCUCUUUACAAAAUGCGUUUAGUAUCAGUUAAACCCAAACAUCCACGAACUUUGUAACAUCUUUUGGUUGGGGCCAGUUCACCAUUGCUUUAACCUUUUUCCCCUUUGCUUCCACGCCUUUGCUCGAAAUCCAAUGGCCCAAGUAUUGAAUCCUCGAGUGCCCAAUUACACACUUCUUUCUAUUAGUGAACAAUUGGUUGUCCUUAAGAAUGCUGAAAACAACCACACAAUGCUUUUCAUGCUUUGUGAUGUAUGUGUUGUACACCAUGAUUUCAUAAAAAGACAACAAUACAAAGCGUCUCAAGAAUGGUCGAAAAACCUGGUUCAUUAAAGAUCGGAAGGUGGCAUGAGCGUUUGUCAACCAAAUGGCAUAACUAGGAACUUGUAAUGUCCCUCAUGUGUGGGGAAAGCAGUCUUCUCAAUGUCGCCCUUUUCAUUCUGAUGUGAUGAUAACCAGAAUGUAGGUCUAAGUCUAAUUUUGAAACCACAACCACCCCAUGUGUAAUUCAUCAAGUAGUUCUUCGAUCACAUGUAUCAGAAAUUACUGUCACUUGAUUCAAUUUACGGUAAUCAACACAAAACCUCAUACAAUCAACUUCGGGAAGGACUGUUUAGCCGAUUGUUUACUAAUUAGGCUUCCUUCAUACAUUCUUCUGACGUCUUCGGAUGACGGCUCACCAUGUUGAUAGACCACCAAUUAUACACCAGUACAGUUGAAAGAAGAAGAAGCAAGGAAUAACCGCACGUGCCCAAGGAAAAUAGUUUUUAAUAUUGUUAGUAGAUAUUUUCAUAAUAGGGGGAGUAUAAAUAGGAGGUUGUUAAGGAGAGAGAGAGUUAGUUAGAAAGUAUCAUUUGGCUUCAGGCUAUUCCUUGAAAGAUAGGAAAGCAGAAGAGAGUUUUAUAUUUCCGAAUUAAGGAGCUCUCAAUUCGUUUCCCUUGUAUUUUCCUUAUUAUUUCUGCAAUAUUACUAAAGUACUAAAAUAAAUCUUACUUGAUCGAAGAGGAGUUUCAUCAUUUGGUAUCAAAGCACGUCGGUUCUGGGCAGGGGAAGAACAAUGGUUCACACGUGAUCGGAAGAGAGAAUGGAAGCUCACAAUCAGGAAAUGCUGUUGAUAAAAAAAAAAAGUAAAAUUCCGGUGAUCGAAGAAAGUUUAACGACGAUUAGUAUACAAAUGGAAAAGACGCAUCAAAUGUUGAUGAUGCUCAUGGACUAGAUUGCGAAGGAACGAACUACAACCAGUGAGAAAAUGGCCGAAUACAGUGCACAAGAAAUCGGAUUCAAAAAAAAUAAUGAAGGAGAGAGUUCGACAAACAGAAGAGGCGAGAACGAAGUUAAGGAAAAGAAGAAUGAGGAAGGAGCGAAUGAAAGAAACAAAUUCUUGGCUCUUCCGUGCCGAUCGGUAUUUCCAAAUUCACAAACUGAACGAUGCUGAUAAAGUGUUGGUUGCGACCAUCAGUUUUGAAGGCCCAACGCUAAACUGGUACAGGGCACAGGGCACAGGAGGAACGUGAUAAGUUUACGGGAUGGAAAAAUCUAAAAGAGAGAUUGCUUGUGCGAUUUCGAUCGUCAAGAGAAGGAUCCAUCUGCGGGCAAUUUCAAAGAAUUAAGCAACAAACCACGGUGGAGGAAUAUCGUAAUGAGUUCGAUAGAUUAAUGGUACCACUUGCUGAUUUGCAAGAUCGAGUGGUAGAGGAGACAUUUAUGAACGGUUUGUUUCCGUGGAUCAAAGCGGAGGUGGUUUUUUGUAAACCGGUCGGUUUAGCCAAGAUGAUGCACGCGGCUCAACUCGUGGAAAACUGGGAGAUUAUUCGUAGUGAGGUAAAUCUAAAUGGUUAUGCCAAAGGUAAAUAUCCUCCUUCAAACUCUUUAAAUACUAAGAGUAGUGCAGUGGUGAACAACAGUGAUAACAAAGGAAAUACCAUAUUUUCGAUGAGGGCAGUCACCUUAAGAACUACGACUGGAGAAGUUAAGAAAGAAGGACCGAAGAAGAGACUAUCUAAUGUAGAAUUUCAGGCCCGAAAAGAGAAGGGGCUCUGUUUUCGCUGUAAUGAGAAGUAUCAUGAUCAUAGAUGUAAAGGAAGGGAGCAAAGGGAAUUGAGAAUGUAUGUUGUGAAAGAAGACGAAGAAUAUGAAACCGUGGAGGAAGUUGAGGACGAGGAUAAAGAGUUGAACUGCGUUGAGAUAGACCAAGAAGAUCAGGCCAUCGUUGAACUUUCAAUAAACUCAGUGGUGGGAUUGACGAAUCUGGUAACAAUGAAGGUGAGGGGAAGGAUUAAGGAUAGAGAGGUGAUUAUUUUAAUCGACUGUGGAGCGACUCAUAAUUUCAUCUCAGACAAGGUGGUGUAGGAAUUGAGAUUACCCACGAAAGCCACUUCCCAUUAUGGGAUCAUUUUGGGCUCAGGUGCUGCUGUGAAGGGUAAAGGAGUGUGAAGAUAUAGAACUUGAACUGGAGGGAUGGAAGGUGAUAGCGAAAUUCUUACCACUUGAGUUGGGAGGAGUAGAUGGGGUGUUAGGAAUGCAAUGGUUGUAUUCACUGGGAAUGACAGAAGUGGACUGGAAAAUCUUAUCUAUGACGUUUUUUUGUCAGACUAUUGAUUUAGUGGCCUCUCCUAUUUUGUGUUGCCUUAGUUCGAGUUCAUCCACCUCUUUUUGGAAGUAUCCUUUGCUUAAUUGUGGUGUCCUCGUGAUGGUGUUCCCUAGGUUGUUUCAUACGGCUCAUUAUCCUUAUAUUAAGGUGGCUGAUGUAUGGAAUGGUGAUGCAGAAGCUGGGAUUUAUGUCUUCGUCCAAAUCGUAAUGAGCUUGAAAUUUUAGCGUGGGUUCCUCUGUCUCACCUGUUGUUCUCUGUCAGACUUCGUGCUUCUCUUGGUUCAUGGAGGUGGUCUAUCGAUCCAUCCUCAUAUUUUUCUGUGAAAUCUUUUGGAUGACUUGAUGGCCACUGUGGAUCCUCUUGCAAAGGAUCUUUAUUCUGUUAUUUGGACGGAAUUGGGAUCAUUAUCCUAUGAAAAUAAAAAAUUUCUUAUGGGAGUUUAGCUCGAGUGCUAUCAAUACUACUGAUCGUCUAUGUUGCAUACCUUAUCUCUCUCCAUCCUGGUGUGUUAUGGGUUGGAGUCAUUUCGAGUCCUUUGCUUUUUUGUUUAUGCAUUUUUUUGCCUCUUGCUUCUAGCAUAUUAGUUUGGUUGCUUUUGAUUGGUCACUAGCCAACUCUCCAACUCUAAUAGUACUGUUGACAUCUUUGCGUUUCUUUUGGUGGGUCAUUUGUUUAGUACAAAGAAGACUGUUUUCAUAAAAAAAAAGGUACUAAGAAUACUGUUUUGUUGGCCAUAUUACGUGCUUUUUUCUAGACAUUUUAGGGCAAGCCUAAUAAGCAUCUCUUUAGAGAUUUCGCUACUUGUUUAAUAGUUUCAUGGAUUUUGUUCUAUCUACAGAGUUGUAUUGGUGCAAAAUGAAGCCCCUUCGAAUUUUUAUCUUUUUUUUUUAGUUUCCAAUGGGAAAUCCUUUUUGUAAUCACCUAUUGGUGCUUGUGAUCUUCUGUUGUAUCAUUUUUUCAACAAAAUGUUUCUUCUCUUAAAAAAAUCUCCUUCAUUUAGGAUUAAUCCAUACCUGUCUGAGUUGCCUCAAAACUAUGGACAAGCUUCAAAAAAGAUGUCUAUGGAUCAAUCUCCCAAACGUUUCUUGGACGAAUGAGAGAUCUGGGAUGAAAUUUUGGUAUUUGGGGUUUCCUUAAAUGUUUAUUGAUUAAAGAAGUGUUUGAUUUACAACCUUACUUGGAUCUGUCCUUUGAGUUGUACAAUUGUGUCCUUGAGUUCUAAAACAAUAUAGUUUGAUUUGCAUAUAUUGAUAUAUUUAAUAUGAUAUUAUUUGACGAAUUGCACAUGACAUAAUUUUGAUUUGCAUUUAGAUAAAGAAAUCAGGGAUGAAGUUGAAAAGGAUGCAGUUGAUGAAACGGAAUAUUAUGCAUGGAAUGAGUUGAGACUGCAUCCUUUGCUUAUGAAAUCGAUCUACAAACUUGGGUUUAAGGAACCUACAGCAAUCCAGAAAGCGUGUAUUCCAGCUGCUGCUUACCAGGGGAAGGUUGGUUUGUCUGUUUUCUUUGUUACCCUUACGACUUGCUUGACCCUACAACAUUUAGGUGUCAAGGAAACUAGUAAAAAAUUAAUUACUAGAUCUUUGGCCAUCAUGGAUUGAACCUGUGACCUUUUAGUUAGUUAUUGAGACGAUGUCUCUUUUUUUACCAUGCCAACCCAUGAUGGUUGUUAGUUUGUCUUUCUUUUGUUGCAAGGGUGGAAAAAGGAUCAUAUUUUGCCUGCCAUUGAGUUUUGCUUAUGUGACAGGAUGUUGUGGGUGCUGCUGAGACAGGAUCUGGAAAAACACUAGCUUUUGGAUUGCCAAUUCUACAACGAUUCUUGGAUGAACGAGAGAAAUCUGGAAAGAUGUCUGAAGAAAAAGGAGUAGAUGCAAAAAAAUAUGCUCCCAAAAGUCUUCUACGGGCUUUAAUUAUUACUCCUACUAGAGAACUUGCUCUUCAGGUGAUUUCUUUAUGCCCACUCAUGGCUAGAGGCCUAAACAAGUAUGUUUGCAGUGGCUACAGGAGAUAAAACGUGCCAGGAUCAACGAUCUUAGGAUAAGAAAUAUUAGCGUUGGUAGUUAGAUUUUAAGAAAACUUCCUACCUUAAAAUAAUAUUCAAGGUCUCAAAAUGACAUUCUCAUUUCUUGUUUGUUUCUUAUUAAUACUUGCAAUGAUAUUUGGAUUAAUUGGGAUGGGUUCAUAUCCCUUCCUUGGCCUGUUUCGUAUUUGUAUUCUCCUUUCACUUAUGUUUCAUUCCAUUUAUUCAUCACUAAUAACUGAUAAGUUUGUUUCUUAUUAGAAAGAAAAAAACGACCUACUUAAGUUCCUUUUAUGUCAAGAUGUAAUUCUAUUUUAUUCUUGUUUUUUAAGCAUAAAUUUUAAGUCCACAGAUCCAUAAUGACAAAACACAAGCAAAUUAUUAACUGAACUUAUUUUAUUUGGAUUUUUGUAUGUGUUGAAUUUGGGGUUUAACUUCCUCUCCUUGAUCUUUUACUAUCAGGUUACUGAUCAUCUCAAGGCAGUCGCAGUAGGUAUAGAUAUCAGGGUGGUUCCAAUUGUUGGUGGAAUGUCCACUGAAAAGCAGGAAAGGCUUUUAAGGACGAGGCCCGAGGUUGUAGUUGGAACACCAGGACGGUUGUGGGAACUUAUGUCAGGAGGAGAAAAACAUCUUGUAGAGGUGAGCACUUCAUGUAUUGAUUAAACUUGUCCAUGUCUUCAUCCUCCAGUCAUAAAAAUUAAAAAGUCCGAUUUUCGAUUCCUCCUAACCUUUUUUGACUCCAGUCUCCACCAUGUAUUAUCUAAGCUCAUCGAUCAGGAUACUUAUUUUGCAAACACCCUUCAUCAAUACGUGCCUUUACCUCCAUAAUGUUGUGGUUUAUGUUUUCCGUAUUUUGUUUUCCUGUGAAAUUAUCUCAUUUAUUCCCUCUUCUAAUUAGCCUUUAAUAUGAUCAGCAUGGAACUUUUCUUAAGCACUUCUGAGAUGUACCUUGUAAAGUAGGGAGUAGUAGUUGUAAAAGUGCUAAGUUGCCAGAUUUUAUUCUUGGUGAUAUUUAAAUAUCAACUUCAUUCUUUUCCUGUAAUAAAUAGGAUGGUAAUGUUGACGCUCUUCAACUUUUCUGUUUCAGUUGGAGGCAUUGUCUUUCUUUGUGUUGGAUGAGGCUGAUAGGAUGAUAGAAAAUGGACACUUUCGUGAGUUGCAGUCCAUUAUAGAUAUGCUUCCUGUGACCAAUGGUUCUGCAGAAAAUUUACAAAAUGCAGAGAACUCUUUGACCACUCCAAUUUCUCAAAGAAAGAAAAGGCAAACACUUGUGUUUUCUGCUACAUUGUCACUAUCUUCUGAUUUCCGUAAGAAACUAAAGCGUGUAUCAUCCAAACCUAACCAAUCGGGAAUGGAUGGUUUGAAUUCUAUAGAAGCUCUAUCUGAGAGAGCUGGAAUAAGACCUAAUGUUGCUGUUAUAAAUCUGACAAACACAUCAGUUUUGGCAAAUAAUCUUGAAGAAUCAUUUAUAGAGUAUGCACCUUUUCAUCUUAUAUCUAACAUUUUGUAUUUCUUUUGUUUAUUAUUGUUGUUGUUAUUGUUAUUAAACAAUGGGGAGAGAGAAAAAAAAAUUCAAAACAGCAAAUACAUCGAAAAUGUAACUCUUUUGUUAUUUCUAUUGGAUGUUUAAUUUAUAUCAUAUAAUUGCACAAGGAAUAUUCAAUAUGUUUGCCAACUGAGUAUAUGUUUUUGUAUGGACUCUGUAAAUGAUGUAUUGUGAUUGAGGAAGGCCAAUCCCAUUUACAUCUUUUUGUAGUAGGGCAGCUCAAAAUUUUACAUCAUUUCUAAGCUUUUUAACAACAUUGAUUUCCAGUCGAAGUACCUGUACAUGUCCGUACACCUUAUUAGAUUAUGGUCUACAUGACUUGGUUUUUUAUCUUUUAGCUAGUAUUGCAUAAUGUAUGGUACAGCUUUCCUAGUAAUCGACAUCCAUCUCUUAUCUCCUUUUUGUCCACAAGCUACAAUCAGCUGCAUGGGUAGUUGGCGUCCAUGCUUCCUAAUUUUGUUAACAGAUUAUAAUAUGAUUAAUUGGACCUUUUUUGUGCUAACAGAUAUUAUGCGUUUGGUAUGACAUACCAUCAACUAUGCUUGUGCCUGUCUUUUUGUGUUUUCUUUGCAUGAGUAAUCUUUCUCCAGUGUGUUCGAAUCAUUACUAAAUCAUGACCUACUUGCAGAUGCAGGGAAGAAGACAAAGAUGCUUAUUUGUAUUACAUUCUGUCUGUUUAUGGACAAGGCCGCACUAUUGUGUUUUGUACAUCCAUAGCUGCAUUACGGCAUAUUGCUGCUUUAUUAUCCAUUGUUGGCGUUAACGUCUUGACUCUUCAUGCUCAAAGGCAGCAGCGAGCACGCUUGAAGGUUAGCUUACUAUUUAGACAGCUCGUAUCUGUCAUACAGUCCUUUCAUAUGUGGGGGUGCUGAGUUGGGCAAGAACUCAUGCUAUCUUUUCUUUGAAAAGGAUACGAGACUCAUUAUUAUUAAUAUUGAGAAAUAAAGAGAACCCUUAAUGUACAUGAGAGUUAUAUAAAGAGCAAUGGGGGAGGGAGGAUCAGCAGUCGCACUUGGACAUCUCAACUAGGUUGACACCCCCUUAGCGCCCUCAUCACAUCCAAAAAGUGACAAUACAAGAUCAAACAAAAAACCACAAAAACAAAGCCAAACAAAAUGGUAAAAUAAUCUGGCCAAAGCAAAAUCAUAAAUCAUAGGCAGCAAGCCUAGAACAAAGAAGAAUAAGCCUUGAUUGAUUGAUCAAAAAACUGUUUGAAGCAGAGGGCUGAUCCGGAAGUCCUGAUGAUCAAGGACUUAAGGUGGGGAGAUUAUAAAAGCUGGCCAAUUUAACGCAGCAUCCUGCAAAGAGUAAUCCUGAAAAUCUUUGGAUAGAGAACACCAUGAAGAUGCAUUCAAGAGACUAAAAUGAGUUUGUAGCUCUGAUGAAGCACCAUGAAGAUGCUUUUGUUUAUUUCAACCAAUACAUUAUAGUGUGUAGCUCUAAUAGCAUUAGAUCAAAUUACCUUAGUUUUCCUAUUUAAGAAAAAUUGUACUUGUGCAAAAUAAAAGAAGAAAUUUGAUACAACACUGGUGCUUCAUUAGAACUACAAACUCAGAGACUUCCUAUUUUUUUUCACCCCAGGCAAUUGAUCGUUUCCGUGGAAGUCAAAAUGGGAUACUGAUUGCCACUGAUGUUGCGGCUAGAGGCCUCGAUAUUCCCGGUGUUCGAACUGUUGUCCACUAUCAACUACCACAUUCAGCUGAGGUUAGUAAGAUACAGUUUGCCUUGUUUGAACCUUUUCUGUGCAACUGUUACUAAAUGUCUAAUUUGAAAGUAGGUUUAUGUUCAUAGAAGUGGAAGAACAGCCAGAGCUUCUGCCGAUGGUUGCAGUAUCGCGUUGGUCUCAGCCAAUGAAACUUCCAAAUUUGCAUCUCUGUGCAAAUCAUUCUCUAAGGUAGCAAAUCUAUAAUCAUGUAAAAAGCGGUAGCAGAUCUAGAAAGAUUAUUUAUUGUUCCUACCAUGUGGAUUCGCCAUACUAUUGUUUUUGUUUUCUUUUCUCUAUCUGACUUGUGUUUUAAAGAAAUAGUAGCUGCCAAUAUGAGGCUCUUUAACUUGUAUAGUCUUUUUGGAUAUAUCAGCAAUAGCUGCGAUGUCUUUUGAGCAAUCUUCCUUAUACAUGCUUCAUUUGUUUCUGUUCCGAUAGGAAAGCUUCCAGCGAUUUCCUGUUGAUAAUUCAUACAUGCCAGAGGUUCUAAAACGUUUGUCUCUUGCACGCCAGAUUGACAAGAUUGUGCGGAAGGAGUCCCAGGUAAACAUAGGCAUAAUUCCAUGCCUAUAUAUUGCUUACACAUGGAAAUUUGUGUCCUGGAACGGCACUUCCUAGUUCCUUUUUGUGCUCCUGCUAAUUGGUGUAAUUGGCUGUGAUUUGUUUCUGCUUAUUACCAUAGUUCUAAUCCUAGAGUUACACAUGUUCAUUUGGUUUUUUGGUUGUUAUGAGUUUAAAGCUAUGUUGCUGAUUUCUAGGAGAAGGCAAGUAAAACUUGGUUUGAGCGGAAUGCAGAGUUAGUGGAAUUAGUUGUGGACAACGAUGACAGUGAAGAGGAGAGAGCAAACAAUUAUAAGCAGAAGAAAGUUGGCUGCAUCCAGUUAAAGAAACUGCAGCAGGUACUAGCCGCAAUGGCUAAUUUUUGAAAAAAAUUAGGUGAUAUGGUGGCUAUGUUAAAUUCCACUGGUAUUAUCUUCCUUCCUUUUAUAACUUAUUACUAAUUGCAGGAGCUCGACAAGCUGCUUUCCCACCCUCUGCAACCAAAAUCAUUUUCACACCGAUAUUUGGCUGGUGUAAGUACUACUAUUAAUUGUUAGAUGUUCCGUUCAUAAGUUUUCCCCAUUGCUUCUCAUAAAUUUUCUGGAUUAAGGAUUAUCUUUUUGUGAAAUGUUGUAAUAUGAUAAAAUAUUUUGCAUCAAGAGAAAAAGUUCCUCUAUGUAAAGAAAGGAAGUGGGAGAAAGAAAAUAACCGCUGUCUUUGCUAUUCAAACAACAGCUUAUCAUCAAAUAUUUUGAUCAUGAUUUACCCUGCUUUUGUUGGUUUUCUUGAAAUAUCCUUUUCUUUUUACCCGUGCUAAUGUACCUGUUUCCCCAGUCAAUGGGUGCAUGGGUUUGAAUAAUCUCUGGUUUUCAGCUAUUGGUUAUUCAUAGUAAAUUACUAAUUACACAAUGACUGUAUUCCCUCCUUGCUUGUCAGGCUGGGGUUUCACCUCUUCUGCAACAUCAAUUUGAAGAACUGGCCAAGCAGAACACUUCUGUUCAGACUAUGGGAGAUAACAAAAGGAGGAAGUUGGCUGCUUUUGGUCAAGAUCUUACAGAACCACUUCAAGCACUUCGAACUGGUGGUCAACAGGUAUCAAGCACUUUCUACUUUCAUUGAAAAUCAGUUUUCUUGUCUAAAUGGUUUGUAGGGUAAUUGAAUGAUGAAUCAUCCAUUUAGUCAAAAUUUCAACUAUUUAUCUGUAAGACCCCUAGUUAGGAAAGAAUAGGAUUAUUAGUAUGGUUACUAGAAUGGGCAUAUUAGUAGUUUGAUAGUACGUUGGUUAUAAAUAGUAGGAGGGGUGGUGGGGAAAAGUAUGAAGAAUUCUGUAGUGGAAUUUCCUUGAGUGGGAUUUUUUUUUUUUUUUUUUUGAUAAGAAACAAGUGUAUUCAUAUAACAAAAAAGAACAACCUAAGGGCAAGGGACAAGAGGGCCCUUCCCGGAAGAAACUAAGAAACUAAGAAAUGAUAGCCUUUCAAUUGUUGAAAAUCAUUGAAAGGCUAUAAUUACAAAAGUGUUUGGUGUAAUUCGUACUCCACCAAGAAGCUGUGUAUUGCAACACAGUCCAAAAAGAAUCAAAAGAAUUAUAGCUAUCUUCAAAGAUUCUACUAUUCCUUUCUUUUCAAAUACACCACAAAAGGGACCGAGUCGCACAUUUCCAUAAGAUGUUUCUUUUUGGGCUAUAACCUCUAAUGUUGAGUCCUUCAAUCAUUCAGCCAUCAAUCUUACUAGGGAGACAAAGCUCCAAUUCAAAAAUCCUAAACAAAGUGUUCCAAGCUUUUUUAGUAAAGAGACAAGUGUAGAAAUAGAUGGUCCAAAGUUUCCUCUUCUUUGAAGCAGAGACAACACAUCAAGGGACUAAGCAAGGUGUUCUGAACUUUUUUUUUUGUAGCUUCUCAUGAGUGUUAAGGCUUCUGUAAGCGAGCGACCAUAAGAAAAACUUCACCUUCUUUGGAAUUUUAUUCUUCCAAAUAUGACGAAUCAAAGGAACAACAAUGGAGGGGAUCUCUUGGUUAAGUUGAGAAAGGUGGACUUUGUAGUAAAGUUGCCAUUAACGUUAGGAGUUUAUUUAAGACUAUCAUUCCCUUCGGUGGGGGCCCAAGAAUGAAGAAUUUCUAAAACUGAGGCCACAUUGGUAAUCUCGUUAUCGAGCAUAUUUCUUCUAAGGCCCAAAUUCCACGAAUGAGUAGCAGUACACCAACAUUCAGCCGCGUAAAUAUCCUUAUUCAACGACACAGAGAAUAAGUUGGGAAUUUUUUUGCAAGUGGGUUCCGCCAGAGGACCAGCAAGCAAAAACCCAGCCAGACGACCAGCAGAAAACCAAAAACAAUAGUCCAACAGAGAGGAAACCCAACAAGCAAAAAAACAAUAUCUAGAAGAGACCAAUCCAGGAUCCAAUUCAGAACAGCCCAAACAAAACACAGGUGCAGAAGCAGAAAAAAUAUCCAUGCAGAACACAAGCUAGCAACCAACAACCAACCAAAAAUAUAAAGUUGAACAAAUCAAGAAAUCACUACACCCAACCAGCCAUUCUAAAACCAGCACCAACCAACAUUGAGGUGGAGACGGAAAGACGGCGAGACGGAUGAUAGACAUCCGGGAAAACAUCAAAGGUUAGAAAGAUAAGAAGAAUCAUUAUAGAGAGCAUCGUUUGAGGAAAGAAAAAGUGGAGACUCUGUUCAACAGUGGUGGAUGGCUAGAUUCACCAAUGGAAGUUGACAGAUGGGAUUGCCGAGGAAGGAUAAAAUGGAUGGCAAUGAGGAAAAUGGAACUGGAAAACGUAAAGGGCGGUGUACAGAUGGAGAUGGAGACGGUGCUGGCAGCUUAUGGCUCGGAAUGGCAAAGAGGUCAGCAGACGGAGAAAAGACGGUUGAGAUUUGCAAAGGGAGUUGGCAUACAGAGUACGGAGAAGAUGAUUUGCAAAAGAGAAAAAAUUGCGUGAGGAGGGAGAGAUAAGGGCUGCCCACGUGAAAUAGGGGGGUAUUAAUUCAAUUUGGGCUUCGGCCUGAAAUCACUAAAAAGGGUUGAAACCCAUUAUUUUGUGCAGAUGCAAACUGAAGGGGUGGGUUGCAACACGUGAAAAUGGGAAGGAUUGGAAGGAAGAAAAAGGAGGCUGGAGGUGGGAUUAUGGUAUGGAAAAUGUAGCAGCAUGAUUCUGGGCUUGAUUGUGGGCUGGAAUUGUUUAAAGCUCAUUGCUACUUUCAAAGAAGAUAAAGGAGUAUGGGCCCAAAAGAUUGACUUGAUUUUGGAGCAACCAAUGGAUUAUAGGCCUAGCCCAUUUGGGUAGAAUAGCCAAUUUGAAGAACACUUCCAGUGUGGUGGAGAUAGGCUCGUGGAAAUAUUGUGGAGUCCUUGGGUGCUUAUUGGGCUGAAUCCAAGUGAACUGAUUGAAGCUCAAGUGUUCCCAAAGCUGAAGAGGGUGACACUGUGUCAUUGUGUUUUGUAAUCAUACCUUGAGGACAAGGUGUCUUCACGGAGUAUCGUAAGGCCCCUAGUUAUGUUAGAAUAAGAUUAUUAGUAUGGUUAUUAGAAUGGGCAUAUUAGUAAUUUGAUAGUAAGUUGGUUAGGGCUUUUUAGUAAUAAAUAGUAGGAGCGGGGUUGGGGAAAGGUAUGAAGAAUUUUGUACCGGAAUUUUCUUGAGUGGGAAUUCAGGAGAGUCUGGCCAUCUUGAAAGGCUAGGGGUUACUCAUUCUUAUGAUAUUAUAGCUUAUAUUUCAAUAUAUUUUUCAUAUUUGAUUGUUCUUGAGUUGUGUGUUCUUGAGUAUCUCUUGUUAGGUUAGGAUCCUAACAGUAUCCUUCUUUGACAGGUACAUAUGAAUGCAAAAGAGAUGGCUGAAAAACGGAGGAAAAUGGAGAACGUCAAGAAAAAGAAAAAAGAGGAGAAAAAACGUAAGCUACUAAAAUCUUUAUUGAAUGGGACUCUUUUUUCAAAAUUCUUCCUCUCAACUAUCAUAAAAUAUUAAGUAAUGUCAAGAAAUGAGUGGUCAAUUAGAAACCAAAAAUACCAAAACAUUCUAGAUAUCAUAUGCAAGCAGCCUCGUCAAAAAGUACAUUCUUUUAAAAGCAAAACGAGAUGGAAAAUAUAAAGAUAACAGAAACGCUGAGACAUAAAUAAUGUGAUUAUCUUACUAAAACAUAAAAUAUAACCCAUAUUUAUAUUGAAUGGGACUCUUUGGUGGUUUUCGAAUUGUCAUCUUUAUAAUUUCCAGUUCUAAAGAACUGUAGAACGUUGGAAAUCUGCUCUCAGGUUCCUCAUUUCACAAUUAUUUUCUUGCAGGCUUGCGCGAUCAGCGGAGAAAUAAACGGAAACAAAUGAAAGGCAAGAUUUAGAAAAUUGAUCAUUCUGGUAAAUUGCAUUAAAGUUUGUAGAACAAAUGAAUAACCGAUACAGUGCUCUUGUGUUUAAUUUUAGUUUUUAGGUCUGAUUUUUUUUGGGUAAAUUAUGAACAGAAAAGAAUGCUGAUUUUGGUGAUGUAUGGGGGGACAUCAAAAUUUUGAGCAGAGGGUUAGAUUGGCUAUAAUUUUAUGGCAAUUUUGUGUAGAUGGAGAACUGUUGGAAUGUUAAAGGCAUAUUUUUUAGGUGACGUUUGAGGCACAGAUGAUCCUGCCUCAGAUGGGUUUGGUUAUUGCUUCCUUAACAAUUGUUUUCUUAGUAAAUAACACUUUCUCAAUACCAAUGCUAAUAUUGGCAAAUGAAGUCUUCUAAAGCAUCAUAAGGAUGGAGAAUGAAAGUUUUCCCGUGCAUCUGUUUAGGUCAAAUUUGCAUUGUCGGUAGAAAUUGAAAAGUUUGAUUGUGAGUACAUUUUUAGUCGAUAUCCUUUUGUUUUUAUUUUGGGAAAGAUGAUUUCUCCCAUACUUGAAUAAGAAUAUGAGAUUGAUACCCCUUUUAAAAUGGAGUUUUAGAAAAUGCAUGUUUGUCAGUGUCAAAUCUCCUAUAUUAUUUGAUGAAAAAGUGGAAGUUGGGAAUUUUACUCAUUUAUUUAUUUAUAUUUUAAAAUUAUAAUAAUUCUUAAUAAAUAAAUUUCAUUAUGGUAUGAAAUUCACAAAAGAAGGGCAAUAGCAUAAGUCAACAGAGUUACAAGAGACUUAUCGGUAUAAACAAAUUGGCCAAAUGUGGAAUAGAUAGAAAAAAGGAAAAGACAAUCAAUACAAAAAUGAAAUCACGAGACUAUGCAGAAUCUAUCACUUUCUUAUCUUAACCUAUGGUUAUCUUACUAAAAUAUAAAUAUAAAACAAGACACCAUUUGUUUGUGCUGAGGAUAAGGAAUAGAAUGACAAACGGCAAUAACAUAAACUAAUACUAAGUGGGUGUAAAAGUACCAUUAUAUCUGUUUCCAUUGAAGACAUGACUUUUAUGUAUCCUUGAGUUGCCAGACAAAUUGGGACUAGUUUUUAGAUUAGGCAUAUGAAAAGAAUAAAAUUGUUUCUUUGAGUCAAUCCUGAUCAAACUAGAGAUACUGUUAGGACCAAAUCGAGAUUUAGUUCUUUAGUUUUCUCUACUUUUUGUAUGUUCAGCUAAAUGCAUAUGGAUGGUGUCAUAGCUACAGUAAAUUGUAUUAUAUUCACCCUCUCCCAUUGAUCCUUCUUGAUUGGAAGGUUUUUUGUUAGUAGUUUCCUUGGGAGAGGGCUUGCUCUCCCCUGGCCUUUGGGUGGUUACUCGUAUACGCACACACACACAAGGUUUCUCAUUAAAAAAGAGAAAGAAAAAAAAUGGUCUCUCUACUCAUUACAUCGUUAAAAAAAUAAAAAGAAAGAACAUUUGAAAAAUAAUGUCUGAAAUGAACUUUUGGACGAUAAUAAAUCUUUCCCCCUAUUCAUUAGAUUAAAAAAAAUGCCCCCCUAUUUAUUACCCAAAAGCAUACAUCAUAACUAAGCUUAUCGUGUAUUUGCAUAUAAAAGUUCACAAAACAGAGUUUUAAGGUGAGAUCUGGACUACUUUCCAGGAUUUUUACAGUUAAGACUCCACGAAGUUAACAUAAUUAUCUUUUUAAAAAUAUUUAACAAAAGGGUGUGACUAGAUUGUGCACAUUAGCUUUGCCAAAUGCAGAAUUUGGUGUGAGAUUGGUGUGAAAAUCCUCAAAAUUCCACAGCAAUCCAUCCCAUAAUUGAUGGUCUUCCAUCGAAAUUGCCUCGGGCAGAGACAACAAGAGGCUUCCUGGCUGGUCAUGAUCUAUUUGGGGAUUGAAGUUACUGAUUAUGCCAGUACAAGAUUCUUGCCUUAUUUGAGGCUGAGAAUUGUUUAUAGGUUCAGCUUUCAUAGCAGGUUGUCGGUUCAGUUGCUGCUGCUGUCUUAGGAGUUCUCGAUGUUGUUGUUGUCGUAAGAGUUCCCAGUACUGUUGUUGUUGCUGCUGCUGCUGUUGAUGAUAUUGAUGCUUUCUUAGAAACCGAGCAUUAGGCUUUUCAUUGCGGCUGGAAGUUACUUUUGCUUUUUUCUUAAAAUGGGUUCUCCAAUAGUUCUUGAUUUCGUUAUCAGUUCUUCCUGGCAAACUUCUAGCAAUGGUAGACCACCUGUAGUAUUUACAAAUAACAUGUUUAGUUCUUUUUAGCUGUUUCAUAAUUUACAAAAUCUAUAGGUGAUAAAUGUUCAGUGAGGCCUCUUCAUAUCUUCAACAAUCGUACUGUACCCAGAUAUUAUUGUUUUAUUGUUUUUUGUUCUCAGGACCCACCAAAUUUUUGUUGUUAAACUUAGGAAAAAGAAGGGAGGAUUACCUGUUACCCCAUCUCGCAUGAAGCUCUAGAAUUAUGCUCUCUUCAUGUGGGGUUAUCUGCCCUCUCUUUAGGUCUGGCCUCAGGUAGUUUACCCAUCGCAGCCUACAACUCUUCCCAUUCCUUCUCAAUCCUGAAUGCACCAAAAGAACUUAUAAGAGAGGCAUUUUGGAUUACAAGCUUAAGACAAUGAAUGAAAAGAAGACUAAAAAUCAAGGAAAAUGCCAAAGGAAGACGUAGGAAGGGCAGGGGGGAAUGGAUACUCCAGAGUAGAAUGAAAUAAUGUUCCAAAUCAAGGAAAAUUUCCGAAGAAGAAAAUUGUAGUAAGAGAGGAGAACAGAUACUCAAUUUAAAGCGAGUAAACAAAAUUCCCAUACUCGAACAGAGCCAACUUUGGGAGGAAUGUAUGUUAAUGUAUUUGAUAUUUGAUAAGUCGGUCCAAUUUUCCGGUACUGAAAGUCUAAGACAAAGGGGUUGUUUUACCUGCAAGGUGAGCCACAGAAUUCCACCUUCCUUCACCAUGAACUCUCACAUAUUCCAUAAGCAGCCUAUCUUCUUCAGCAGUCCAAGGCCCUUUUCUCCAUCCUUCUGCUGCUACUUUGCCCCAACCAAAAUGCUCAUCCAUCAUCAUCAUCAUCAUCCAGCUCUGCCUUUCAAAUUUAUGCUUCUGAAUAUUAUGCAAAGAAUCUUUGAUGUUCUCUCUCUCUUACAGAUUUCUAUGGCAUAUUGGGUUAAUGUUUGUUCCAUAUUUAUAUAGUCACUCAUCAUUUGAGAGUUUUUCUGAUCCUUUUUACUGUUCAAGUUAUUGUGAUCAUCAUCAUCUUUGAAACAAGAUUAUAAAAUGGCAUGUAUGUCCUCACCAAUAUUUUAUUAUGUAUUGCUCUUUUCCCUUUUUUUGGAACUCCUUUUUGGGACUGUCUAAUCUUAUUCUUCAUAUUAAAAAAAUGACCCAUUUGAUUAUUUUAACUAGUUUUCCAUCUUGCUUUUAGAAAAAUAUUAUAAAGUGAUGAGCUUGUAGUUGUCUAGAUUAUAUGUAGAUUCUCUCCAAAUUUUAAACUAGAAAUGAGUUCUUUGGCCUUUUAAAUAGACUGAGAUUGCAUAUCUUUAUCAAAUCACAGUAUGAUUUUUCAAGAUGAGAAAAUGGUUCAGUGCAGGUUGUUGUUUCCAGAUCAACCUUUGGCUUGACAUGAUUCUAUAAGAGCGUUUUUCUUUUUAUCAUAUGCAAAUGGGAGAAUUUAACGUACACCAAUCGUAUAACUUAAUGUCAAUUAAAUUAAGAGUUGUUCGAGUGUUACAAAAUAUAAUGCUAUUACUAAUAUAUUUACACGGUGUUUAGCCCAACGACAUCAUAGUUGGUGAUAGAUAAUUUAGCUACUUCAAAUAAUGUUUAUUAUUGAAGUUUGCACGUUUAUCAGAGAAUUUUGUCUCCCUUUUUCUUAUUCUCCCUCAAAUAUUUUCUAAUACUUGAUUAAACAAUUCUACACGUGGAACGUAUACUUUUUACUUCCAAACUUUAGAAGGAACUCAAUUCAAUGUUUAAAACAACUAUAAAACAUUUUGCUACAAAAAUAAUUUUAUUUUAUGAUGCGUUGAAAGUAUUGUUCACAUAUUUACGAUGACAAAGAAAAAUAGUUUAAUUUGGUCAAGACUCAUCACAGCUUUCGUUAGCUUAGAUGCUAACUUAGGUUAUACCAACAUUAUAUGCUUCAAAUUCUAGACAUUUUUCUUUUUAUUAGUAUCUCGUUUUUGUAUUCUACUCUUGUAUUUACGUGACAUAAGCUAUUUCAUGUCAUUUCUCAUUCUUAAACAUCAAGAUAUUUAUUUGUUCCAAAAAAACCACAUCCAAAAUACCAUAUGAAGAAUUGAUGACAGUAAUACACAUGAAGGAGAUGACAAACCUUGGUGAUGCCAAAGUAUUAGGUGACAUGAAAACUCCAAUAAUAAUUCUUAUAGUAAUCAAAAUGAAAAGAAACUAUUUUUAAUAAAAAAGGGGAAAAACAUUCUUAGGGCCACGUAAACCCCUCUCCUUAAUAAAAAUAAAAUUUGAGUAACUAAAAAAGAAUUGUGGGAGUGGAUUAACUUUCUUAUAUGAAAAUUACUGGAUGUCCAAUGGGAUUUUGCCACCUGUUUGCUUAAGAAGAGAUGACAUGUACAAUGCCUAUUAUGUCUUCUUUUAAAUACAAUAUUUUUAUGCCAUUUUGAGACUUUAAAAUGAAGUCAUUUGGACACUUGCCUCUCUCUUAUUUCACUAUGUGACAGAAUGUCUUGCAUGCACUUUUCCCAUUAACAUUAUAUUUAUUUUUCAAAAUAGAAUUAUCACCACUAUUCUAUCAACCUCUAAUACUGUCUAUUAUUAUCUAUUUGUGAUGGUCACUUUAAACACUAAUGUUUUGUUAUAUUUAUAAAAGCAUAUAAACAACUUCGUUAUUCUUUUAUUUCAUAAAAUUAUAUCGACAAGGAUAAUCAAAAGUGAGAAUACUCGCAUUCACUCUACAUAACUCUACUUCAUUUGUUAAUUAUUAGACUAGGUUUCUAGAGAUUCUAGUGUACCAUACGUCUCAAAAUAUCUCACACCAAAAUCAAAAUCCUAAUCUUCAAGGGGUCUCUUAGCUUUGAAUAAAAAAAAAAAGGGUUAUUUCUUCACUAAAAAAAGUAAUGGAAAGAAAUAAAUAAAAUAGUAUUCCAAGUGAUUUCACCUUUGGAGUUUGCUUAAAAAUCGUCUUCUAGCAAACGUGUUAUGCACAAAAUCAUUACUAUAUGGAAUUUCACCAACCAUAUCUAUUUUAAUAUUUAUAUGCCCUAGAUUUCCUCCAUUAACAUAAAUGUUUGAUUAAUUAAAUUAGACACUAUAUUUAAGAAAACCUUGUUUGAUUAUGUUAUGAUCUGCAAACACUUUAUGAACACCAAUACUCAAAAAGGGUAUAUGGAGAAACUAAAAACAAAAAUAAUUACAUAUUUUGUUUUGGAUUUUAAAGGUUGCUAUACUAAGUCAACAAAAGAAAAUAUAAAUAUGAGAUCACGUGUGUUAAAUAAAAUUUUCUAAAGAUUAAAAUGAUGGUAGUCAAAUAAUCAUAACUCAAAUGGUAUUAAUUAAAGAUGGAAAUAUCACAAUAUAUCGGUCCUAUGUUGUAUUUAAUCUUCAUUUUGUAUGAUAUAAACUUUAUUUAUGAAAGAUUUAGUCCACAAUCAUUUUUAUUGUCUUCACGAGAUCAUAUUUGAAUUUUAAUUAUUAAUUUAUAUCUUCACUUUAUUAUUUAAACAAAUUUGUUCUAAAAUUUCACUAUAUUUUUAUAAAUUUCCAUGAUAUUCAUGAUUUUUCUUGAAAAAUCCAUCGAUGUAUUGAUAGCGUUGAGUUAUCAAUAUUUACACCAAUAACGAAAUUUCAACUCUUGGUAUUAAUAAAGCAUGUAUGGUCAAUUUAUCUACUAAGCUACCAUUGUUUUGAAAGAACUAGUAUUUACUAAGUUAGUUUUCAAAUAUUCUUUUGCAAAUUGCAAUAACUGACGAACAAAAAUUUAGAAAAAAAAGUAAUUCAUAGCAUUUUUUUUUUUUUUAUAUAUAUUGCAAACAUGAUAAAUAAUUAGAUAUAUCAAAUGGUUGUCUUAAGAGAACUAUCCACUUUUAAAUUUUAUACUUUUGCAAAUUAGAAAAUGUAGUGACAUGUACGUUAUUAUUAUAAAUUUUUUGCUACUUUUGCAAACACCGUUCUUUUUCGUUUCUAAAAUACAAUUGAGAUACGUAGUUUGAACCAUAAACAUUAUGAUUACUAGCACAUUCCAACUGUGUUAUGGUCGUUUUGGUAAGUUGUUCAAGUUUAGUUGUUAUAUGUUUUUUUAAAGCACAACUAGGACUUGGAGGAUUCAAACCACAUACUUUAUACCACAAAGACACUUGUAUGUCAACUGAGCUUUGUUUUGGAAAGUUAUUAUUUGUUAGAGAAAUUGAGAAUACCCUACUCAUUCCUUGUAGGGAGAACGACGUGAUAUAUGCUUUCAAUAUCAAAGUACCCGAUAAAUUAUGUUCAUAUGUGUGUGUAUAUAUAUAUAUAUGUUUGAGUAACUGAUUGUGAUUGUGAUUGUGAGGGUAGAGAUAAACCCUUUAACAUAGCAAUUAAUUGAAAAUUAAACUACAAAACAACUUUUGUGUUGACAGCUAUGUUCAUAUGUUUUUAAGUAUAUUUGUAAUUUAGCAAACUCAUCCAAAGAUAUGGAAUAUAAUAAACACAUAGUUGAACAAAUUGACCAUUUCAUCAUCUCUUUUUAGAAAAUUACAAAAUAUAAAUUUAUAAAUAUUAUAUUUGCAUAGAAGGAUUAUUAUGAUUGAUCAUACUUUUAGUACGGACAAGGGAAGAACAAAGGGAUCUGCUCUAAUAAAAGAAUAUAAAAGAACUUAGCAUAAAACUUGAAGUUGAUUAACAGCUAAGCAUUGGCUUUAUGCAUAAUUAAUUAAAAAGAAGAUGUCCUACAAUUCUUUUCACCAUAUUUUAUUAACAUAUAAUAAUUAACUUUUGUAUUAAUUAAAUUGUGUACUCCUUCUAGAUCAAUUCUGAUUAGGAUUGAAAUUAUGAGAUAUUGUGGGUUUAAAUCAACCUUAAAUUUUAGUAUAUAAAAUAACAAUCAUAAAAAGAUUCUCUUUUGAUUUUGUUGCUUUGAUCUCCUUCAAAUGGAUAUGGUGUUCAUUUGGAUUUAACUUAAUGAGUUUCUAUCAACAAUCAUAUACUACAAAGAUUUAAUUCUUCAAUUUUAAAGUAAUUUUAGUUUCAGUUUAGUUUAUUAUUAUUAGUUAGGUAGAAUCUGACUAAUCAUAUAUAUAUAUUUUGUUGUUUAUAUAUAUUCAUUAUGUGACCCUGAUGAGUUAGUGUAUUUUCUAUUUGAUUCUCUUUGUUAUAGUAUUUUCAGAAGAAGUAAAUUAAAAGAAAAAAUAAGAAAGUGGAGAAAAAUUUAAACCAAACUAAAAUUAAAUCCAAACGUGUAAAUACUUAUCAGACUAAAUUAAAGCUUUUAAAACUAUUAAAUUCAAAUUAAGACGAUGAAAGCUUUGUAAACACUCAUGACAAUCCAUUUAUGGAUAAGAAACAAUAACUUAUUCAUUACAAAGACAAAGAAAAAAUCAAUGUGAUAUGAAAUAACAUAUUUUUUAAAAAAAAAGAAUUGAACGUUUAAAAAUGUGCUCCAAAUACACAUAUAAUAUUUGCUAGGAUUUUUAGGAUGAAUUAAUUUUUAUUUUAUUCCAAAUUAAAUGAAAUGAAAAUAGCUAAAAAUCACUAAUUAGAAAUAUCCUACUUUAAUAUACUUAUACAAAUUUUGAUAUUUACAGUUUUAAAAUUUUAAUUGAUAUAACCCUACAAACUUCAAAGUGUAAAUUGAUUUCAUUUGAGCUUCAAUCCACAAGAAGAUUAAUACACACACUUGUUUGAUAUUGAAAUAAGGCAUAUAUAUAUAUAUAUGUUACAAUCAAAGCACUUUUGAUUAAUUAAGGACCAAAUAAUGUGUAUAAAUAUAAUUAAUAUUUAAAGUUAGGCUUAUAACAUAAAUCACAUGGGGUGGCCCAAUUGGAGAUUAUUGGAAGACUUUUCUAAUGGAGUUGACCAUUGCUUUCAAGGAGGGUUAAAAGUUAUGAAAAAUAUCAUCAUAAAACAUUGCAUCUAGUUAUCUUUCAUAUAUAUAUUAAACUAAGAUGAUUUGUUGUAAAAGAAAAAAAAAUACCCUAAAGAUGAUUUCUCUCUAUGUCCUUUUAGGGCAAGCACCCUUUUGUUUUAGUUAUAAUUAGUAUUUCAUAGGUUGAGCUUGUUUUGUGUCAUUUUUGCAAAAUAAAUUUGGACUCCGAGCCUAACCUUUUAAACUUAUUUUGUUAAAUGUACGAAUUUGAACAACGAAUUUGAACCUUCCACUUCAAAAAUAUUUAUACGUUUUAAUUAAUCACUUGAAUCAUAUACUUGGUUACGUCGGUGUAUAUGAUUAUUUGUCGAUCAUUGUUAAGCUAAAGUCACUUUGCUCACUUGAUUGAACAAUCUUAUAAACUUUUAGCAUUAUUAUAAUUUUGUGUUCGAUUAAAAAUUAAAUGCCUUUUAGGCAAAGGAAAAAGAAGGUUUAUAAACUUCUAGAUUUUUAGUCAAUUUUUAAUAAUCAUUUAGAUUAGGGUUUAUCCUAAUGCUGAAAAACACACGCUUUAGGGGUAGGCAGAGUACAUAUAUGAUAUCAUGAUAUUUCCUUCUCUAUCUAUACAUAAUCAAAUCAUCUUUUUUCCUUAUUAUUUAAUUUUAAUAUCAUGUCAUCACCCACUUGUUAUUCAAAACAUUUUACCCCUAAGUUUUUAUUUUUGGGUUAAAUAUCAUCAUUUUCUACAAUUUGUAGAUCAAUAUUUUCAAAGUUUUAAAUUUGUUUUUUUAAAGCAUUAAUAUAUUAUUAAAAGUGAUUUUUUUUAAUUUAGUAAAACAUUUGAGUUAUACUCACGUUGCAAAAUAAUUAACUUUUCUUUUUUUUUUUUAAUUUUUUUAUCUUGAGAAUAAAUAUUAAAGAAUUUUGCUAAAUUCGAGUAAUUGAAAGUUGUAAUUUUGCUAAAAGAAAGUGAUUUGAUGCAAUUUAAAAAUAAAUUAGCCAAACCACACUUAGGUUUACUCCUUUGACCUCUCCAAGGGACAUUCUUCUAUUUAUUCUUUUAUUUUCUCUUUUUCUCAAUUAACUUAUUCUAUUGAUUUGUACGGAUAAGAUUUUAAAUUAAUUUGGGCGGUUUCCUUUCAAUAUUAAUUUUGAAGAUGGGGUUUCUUAAAAUAUAUAUAUAUAAAAAAAAAAAUUGAGAAACUAUUAGUAUUUAUAUUUAACAAAAUUUGGGUAAAUAUUUUAUCAAACCUUUUAUUUUUGCCAAUUAUUAUAGAAAAAUUUCGUAAGACCUAAUUUAACAAAGAAUUGUUCUAAGUUAAGCAUGCUUAACUUUGUUGUUUCUAUGAUUAAGUUACCAAAAAAUCUACACUUUGUUGGUGUAUAGAUAGUAACUUUCAAUUUUUUAAAACAUUUUUUAACCUUACUUUCACAUCCUCACGUUCAUUUCAUUCAAAUAUGAUAUCAAUUUAUUCAUGUCCUACUUCUAAACUUGAACCAUUACAUAAAUCAUUCUCAAUUCUAUAUAUAAUGAAGUUUUAAAAUAAAAAGGUGUUAAAUAAGUGUUUGAAGCUUUAUUUUUGUCUCAAUUUGACAUUUUAUAAAAUUUAUAGGUGUAAUUGACACAAAAUUGAAAGAAUAUGUUCAAAAGAUUAAAAUAUAUGUGUGCAUUAUGGAAAAUUUUAUUUUUGUGUAGUUUACCCAACUAUAUGACAAAUUUUUAAUUCAUUUUUGGAAAGAUCUUUAUUCAUUUUCCUAUAUUUAAAAAUAAUUGUAUGUAUAAUUCUUUUUUGUGUAACGCAUUCACAUCUUGGGAUGCAUCAAAAGAUUACUUAAUAAAAAAAUUUAAAACUUCUUAGUUAUUUCUAAAUAUUAAUACCCAAUUUAAGUGAGUAUAAAACAUCAUCCUAAAAUACUCUUAGAAGUAAAGUUGAACUUUCAUUUCAAAUAUGAAAAUUGUGGUGUGACACUUACGUUACAACUUAGAUGACAUAAGUUAAAGAAUAUCAUAAGAUCAUGCAUAAUGUACUUUUAGUCCCUUAAGUUUUGGUUUGUAUUUGUGGUUUCAAAAAAAAUAUUUUAGUGCUCAAGUUUCUAAAAUGAUUCUUGAUGGUCUUUCAUUCAACUUGGAAUGAUGAGUAUAUAUAUCGUUAUAUUUUGACGGAGAUGGUUUAACAUAUUAUUUAUUUGAUGACGUGGAGAAUAAACUCAAAAUGUAAAGCUUUUGUGAGAUUUGAUAUAUUGAAAUCUUUUCUUCUUCUUCUCCCAUCAUUUCUUUCUGCUGCUCAUUAUUCGACCUGCAACUUUGAGUGUAGUUGCUUGGUUGUCGAAUUGCUACUAGUCAAAGUCACUCUCUCAUCUUCUUCUUAUCACUCUCAAUUUCCUUGACAGUCACUAAUCUUGACACCAAAUUCAAACUAAAUUGAGCAAUCUAACUUUAUUUGAUUAAUUUUCCAUCCAUCGGAGGCUUCUAUAACCUAAUCACCCUCUUUUCUUUCAAAAAUUAAAAUUUCAUACACCACAUAUCCCAAAACUUUCACAUUCCUCACAAAAUAAGAACUUCAAAACCAUUCAUCAAAAUAAAAUAUAUUUACACAUUGGUUAUCAUCAACCUCAAUCCAUAAAUUUUAUAUAGGGGACACCGAACACUAUAUAAUAAACAUACUAAAAAGUGUUUAAAAAAUAUUUCGACGUUUUGCCAAUACUUUAAUAACAUUAACUACAUUUGUUACAAUAAAGAAAAUACCAUCAAUUUUUACAUGAUUUUUUGUUAUGUAAAUGCAAAAUUUAAGAUUUAAACUCUUAACUCGAUGGUUAUGGUGUAGUUGCACUACACCUAAACUACACCUAAACCAAACUUUGUUUAAAAUAAAAUAUUAUUUAAUAAUAUUAUAAUCGGGCUCUUCAAAAUUAAUAUUAAAAUAAGAAAUAUGAUAGUGUGAGGGUACGUGUUCCGUUGACCUCUUAAUAAAUCCACUCCUUGCUGUCAUAUUAAAUAUUGGAUUAAUUGUACAAAAAACAAAUUUAGUCUAGCAUGGAUUGAUACAACCUACCAUUUUAAAAGUGAAAGUUCAAAUUGUCCGUAGUCCGAAAAAGAAUAUCGAGUUAAUUUUUGUAGAACAAUUUAAAAGUUGAGAAAGAGGAUGUAAGUUUCUUAAUUUAAGAAAUAGAAGUGAAAGAUCCAUGAAAGCUUUGUAAAGUCUAACAUUUGACUGUUUAGUCUAAUUAAUAAAAUAGAUAUUUGAAAAUAUAUAUAUAUAUAUAUAUAUAUAUAUAUAUAUAUAUAUAUAUAUAUAUAUAUAUAUAUAUAUAUAUAUAUAUAUAUGACUUUUAUGUGAUCGUCGAGAAAAGUGGACACGUGUUUUAGGUGAGUCAGCGGUCAACCAGUCUAGGUUGAUUAUCAACACGGAAUUUUAGUCCAAAGAUAGAGUAAUUUUAGAAUCUUAGGUUAAGAAAAUUCGUACGCACACAACUUAUUCACUUUAUUUUAUACACUUUAUUUAUUUAUUUAUUUAUAUAUUUUUUUUUUGUAACAUCAAAAAGUUAAAAUUUUAAUUAAUUUUCUUAGACGUAAAAAAUCCAAAACACUUUACCAUUUGUGUAACAAAACAAAAAAAGAAAAAGAAAAAACCCAUGAAAGUAUUCUUGUAAAUUUUGAUAUGUACCCUUCAAUAUUGGGACACGAUUCAACAUUUCUAUUUCUUUUUCUUCUUGUUGCGAUUUCUUCAUCAUCUCUUCAAAAUGUUCUUUCUUCUAUUUAAAUUUUAUAUUUCAACUUUAUCACUUUUCACAAGAUGCUUUGAAGCUAUUUCACGAUUAUUUCAAUACUCUUCUUCAUAUUCGAGAAUAUCAAGAUUAUUUAAACAUCAUUUUAAAUUAUCAAUACGAUUGUUUACCAUGGUCAGUACAAUCAUUAGAUUUGAAGAUUUUUACAAUCACUUACAUUGGAUUACGUGAUCUCUUACUAUAACUAACACGAUCGCUUACCACAAUCAACAUGAUCGUUCACUAUAAUCAAUACGAUCGUUUGCCAUGAUAAACAUGAUCGUUAACUAUGGUCAACACAGUCGUUUAAAAUAUCUUAUUUCAUUACACCAUCAUCUAUCCUUGUAAGGUAUCUUAAAUGAUCGUGUAGUUAUGGUAAACGAUCAUGUAUAUGGAUCUGACGAUCGUUUACCAAUAUCAAAACGAUCUUGGUACAAGAUCGUGUACCAAGAGAUCAUUAAGAUUUUGUAUAAGAUCGUGUACCAAGAUUGUUUAGAUUUAGUACAAGAUCAUAUACUAAGAUCGUUUACCAAGAUCUGGACGUGAAUCGUGUAUCAAUAUUUGAACAAUCAUAUACCAAGCUUUUUGCGCACGUGUGUGACCGAUUAAUUGUGAGGUAUUUUUGUUAUUUCACGUUGUGGGCUGAUUUUUUUCUAUUUUCAAAAUUGUUUUAUACGGUUUGAAUAUUUUGACAUUUUGUUCUAGUUUUUGCAAAACCCCAGUUAUUUAAGGUUUAAGAUUAAAUUAGGAUAAAAUAUUAAUUAAUUUGAAUUUGGAAGUUCAAGGGAGAAGUGAGAUUCGAUCGAAAUUGAGUUGUAUAUAUCUAAUGUAAAAAAAUGUGGAAAAUUGAUGGAAAAAGUAAUGAUAUAUAUACAAGUAAAAAAUUUAUAAUAAUAAGAUAUAUGUCACUACACUUUUUAAAUUGCAAAAGUAACAAAUUUAAAAGUUGAUAACCUGCUGAGAGCCCUCUCAUAACCAUUUGAUAGUUAUCUAAUAGUCGCCUGAUAUCACUAAUUAUCUGUCAUAUUUUUCAUAUUCGCAAUAUGCAAAAUAAAUAUGUCAUGGGUUAUUUUUUUCUAAAUGUUUUUGUCAUCGGUUGCAAUUUUUCUAUAAUUAAUAGUGAAAAAAAUUGUAUUUAAUGAGGAGAGAGAAAGUUAAAUAUAUAAUGUUUAUAUAUUUAUUUAUGUAGAAAAUAAGAACAUUUAACAAAAUAUUUACACUCCAUAAAAAAAUUAAUUAUAAUAGAUUUUAUCUUUUAGUAAUUUUGUUCUACAAAGUGUAAAUAGUUUGUCUUUUUUUUUUUUUGAAAAAUACUCCCUUUUAUUUUGGAAAAGAGAAAUUAUUAUUUGAAAGAUGAUUAUUAGGGUUUUGAGGUAUUAAAUAGCCCUCAUUUUAUGUCUAUGUUAGCUUAAAAAACAAAAAAAAAAAAUUAAUUGGCACUUGCAAAAAUAACAAAAAAAUAUUAUAUGAUAAAUAAGACUCAUGUCAUUACGUUUUCUAAAUUGCAAAACUAACAAAUUUAAAAGUCGAUAGCCCUCUAAUAGGUCUCUGAUAAUCAUUCGAUGGUCAUCUAAUAGUCGUCUGAUAUCACUAAUUACUUGUCAUAUUUUUCAUAUUCGCAAUAUGCAAAAAAGAUGUUUCAUAUGCUGUUUUUGUCUAAAUAUUUUUGUCAUCUAAUGCAAUUUUUCAAAUUAAUUUUGAAAUUUCAAUCUUCUUUUUCCUUCUUUCUUCUUCUCAAGUCUUGCCUCCCUUUGGUAAUUUUAUGUCGACUAAUGCUCCUCUUCACCGGUGUCAUCCGCCAACUUUGCCAUUGACCUGAGUAAGAAUGAAUAUGAAUUGAGAUAGUUUAAAAUGCAUUGACUCAAUGAUUGUUACAGAUUAUGUUUUAUUAUGGAAAAUUCAUGAAGCAUGAUGGUGUUGGGAUUUAUGUCAUAAAACUCGUAGAUUGUAAAUAUAAUAUAUCCGUUAUUAAUAAAAUGUUAUUAUUGUAAUAGUUGUUAUUGAUUAUAUUAUUAGUUUUGUCUUAAAAACUCAAAUACAAUAAACUAACAUUCUAAGCUGUUUAAUGAGUCUUGAAUAGUAUGUAGAGACAUACAUGAAUCAAUAUUCGAGAUCAACUUAAAGGGUCUAUAGUACAGGGAUAAGGUUGGGUACCUUAUCCUAGUAACAUUAUGGAUAGUAGAAUUGAUGAAACUUGCUAAAAUGCGUUGAAAUUACUUCACAUAGCUAUAAUUUGGCUCAAGAGUGUGGUAAAUGUUUGAGCUGAGGAAAAUGUACAAAUAUGUAAUUAAAUAAGUAGAAGGAUUGUGUGAGAUGAUCAUGUGUAUACGAGAUGCAUACAUGCAAUAUGAAUUGCACUAAAAGAAUUGAAAUGCAAUGUAUUCCAUGAGAGUUAUGAUAAAUGAUUUAGAAAGGAAAGCCUUCGUAUGAUUUAUGAUACUGAAUGAUGAAUUGAAAUAAUUUGGAUUUAAAAUCAAUCUCUUGAUGACAGUAAAUGCUAUUUACACUGCUUGAUUUGGGUAAUUUUGACGAGUAAAAGGUGACGGAAACACUAGACAUUUUCAUCUAACAUUUCAGUAUUUUGUUUUAUAAUAAUUUUAGUGUUAUGAUAGUAUGUGUUUGAAGGAAGAGUUAUUAUUGGUAUUGUUAUGAUAAUAUGUAUUUGGGGGAAAUGUUAUGAUUGUAGUAUUAUUAUAACAUGUGUUUGAGGGAAGAGUUGUGAGCGUAGUAUUAUGAUAAUAUAGGUUUGAGGAAAGGAUUAUCUUAAUGGAUUUGUGAUAUUUUUUUGCUAAAAUAAACAAUAUUAAUAUAUGUAUUUAUAGUAAAUCAUAUAAUUUUUUUAAAUAAACAAUAUUAAUAUAUGUAAUUAUAAUAAACCAUAUUAUGAAAUGAACUUGUGAUAUUUUUUUGCUAAAAUAAACAAUAUUAAUAUAUGUAUUUAUAGUAAAUCAUAUAAUUUUUUUAAAUAAACAAUAUUAAUAUAUGUAAUUAUAAUAAACCAUAUUAUGAAAUGAACGCAUAUUAGUGUCAUUAGUAGUAACUAAGUAGAGAUUCAAAUUCGUGUUCGUCCAUUAGAAAUUCUAGAUUGACACCUUGUUAGAAAGGAAAAUACUUAUGAAAGCGUUAAAAACGAAAUUGGUUAACCUAAUCACAUACUUUGAAUUUUGGUUUAUGGGUCUUGAAAAUUUAUUCAAAUCAUAAUUUUCCUAUGUAAAUUUUCCGAAGCCUUCUUGCAAAAAAGAUCGUAAUAAAAAUACAAUAUUGUUAGGUGGGUCAUUUAUGGUUCCCUAUAAUUCCUUAUGAUACGAGAAGUUUGUAAAACUAAUUGUCUAUGUGAGAACUUGUGAAAGUAUUUUCUUAUACGUCAUACUAUUGAACUUGUUACACAUUUCUAUAACCUAUAUCACACUAAUGUAUGUGUAAUAUAAUUUUUUUUCUUAUAAAGUUUUUGUAUUGCACCAACCUAUUGUAUGUUUAAGUCUCUUAAACCUAUAUUGACGUUUUAUAUUUUUAUUGAUUAAAAACCCUUACUUUUUUUUUUUAAAAAAUUAUGAUUGUACAUUAAAUUCGUGACGAAAUCGAAAAAUUGUUCGGAUUUUUCAAAUAUGACAUUUACAAAAAAUUGAAGAGUUGAGUUUAGAGACAAUAUAUGGUAUGAAAACAUUGCUAUUUUGUGAAAUACAUUUUUAGAAUUUUUCGCACAAGUAAAGUUGCUUAUGAAAUUGAAAUACGAAAAUAAUAAAAUUGGCAAUUUGUAUCUAGUAGUAAUUUACCUCAUACUUAUGCGAUGUAAAAAAAAAAACAUUCGACCAUAAAAAAUGAAAAAUAUUCAUUAUAGUACUAAACGAUAAUUAGAAAAACAAAAAAAAACCUUUAAAAUCGUGGCUGAAUUGUUAGGAACAUAUUACAACAAUGAAUAAAAAGAAAAAGUAUAUGUGCACAACUUUAUGAAAUUACACUUUUAAAACCGUAGUACCUUGUGAAUGGUUGUUUAACUGGUGCAACCUAAAAAUAUUAAUGACAUAAAUUAGAAAGGAUUCUAGGAACACGAUAUAUGCCCUUAAAAAUUCAUAAGAUUAAAUAUAAGCAUAGAAAAGUAAUGUAAGGGAAAAGAAGUAGUGUCAGAGUAAAGAAAUUCGUGCAAAAGCAUUUACAAAGAAUCAGUGUUGCACUCAAAUUUUGUAGUCGAACCAAUGUCAUCAAAAUUAAAGGCAGAACAAGCAAAUACACUAUCGUGUGCAUGGAAAAUUUCUUCAUCAUACACAUGAUUUAAAAGAAUAACAAAAUGUUGAAGCAUAAGCAUAUAAACUAAAUAGGGAUAGAAGUGUAUGGAAACAAUAUUCUACCAAUUCAUAAAACGGACAAUGAACAUGAAACUAUGGACCUAAGAUGAGGUGUGUGAAAAAAUAAGAAAUCAGAACAAAGAGAGGGAGUACGAGGAAAAAUAAUAAAUCAAAACAAAAAGAGGCUAUUUAAAAGAACAUGUCAUUUUUUUGUAUUUUUCAUUGUGGGCUUGUAAGCUUUUUUCUUUUUCAAAAUUGUUUUAUACCAUGUAAAUAUUUUGUCGCUUUGUAAUAUUCUUUUAAAAACCCCUAAAAAUAACCCAUAUUUAUUCAUAUGCUUUUUAAAAGAAAUUACAACUUAACAUUUAUAAUAUAUUAUUGAUGAUUUGAAUAGAAACUUCUCAACAGAUUUCAAAAAGAAAUAAAAUUUCUCUAGAAAGAAUUUUUAAUUAUUUGAUUUGUCUUAGCUUGCAAAUGAAACAUAAAGCAAAUAAAGUUGCAUCAAUUUAUAUAUAAAUGGACUAGUUAUAUCAUUCAACUUUUCUAGGGUGGUUCAUUUCACUUGGUCAUGUAAAAAAAAUUAUAUCAUCUGGUGUCAAAAGGAUAACGAAGAACUUAAGGUCUUAAAGAACCAUAAUUUUGAGAAAUAAGCAGUUGUAUCUUUGCUAGUUAAUAUAGAUUACCUCUUGCCGUAUCUUUAGUAAUUUUGUUACAUAAAAAUAAUAUUUCUCCAAAGAUAUUGAAUGAGAAUUAAACUCAAUUAUAUUUAAUUUGAGAAUUAGCUCACGAUAAUUUAUUUUAUUCUAAUAGAUCUAGUUAAUUAUGAAGAUGCAUGUUAUUUUAUCUAAACCAUAUGAGUUAUAUCUUACCCAAGCUACUUAGUACAUAUAGAAGAUUUUUUACAUGGUUGACAACUUAUGAAGUAGAUCAAAACGACUAUUUUAAAUCAUGCUAAAAUAUUGAUGAUGUACAAGACUAACCAUUAGUGUUCUUAUAUGAAGACAAGGCAAACAAAAUUGUUUAGAAGACAACUUUAUUUGCUAACUUCAAUUAUUUUCUUGUUUUUUCUUUAAAUUUUUGUUUCAUCAUUUUUAACAUUUAGGUGUGGAGAAUAAAUUAAUUAACUAUAACUACAAUUAAUUGGCUGAAUUUUGUUGUCUCUAACGUCUUAGCUUUCUUGCCAGCUUCCAUUACAGUAAUAAACUCUAUCUUCUUUUUUGUUAACUAAUGAUUAUUAACGAAUGAAUAGGAAAUGUUUAGUGUCAUUGGAAGUGAUGAAAAAAGUGAUUGUAACCCACCAAAAAUGGAGAAGGGUUACAACCAUGAAAACAAGUCUGAUUAUCCAUGUCAUGCUCUUGCCCUAACAAAGUGACUUGGCUCCAUUCAAACUAGCAGCAUAAGAAUGGAUAGUAACAUUGUAGUUUAGUUAAUUAAUUAGUUAUAGUUAGUUCAAUCAAUCAAUUAAUUAUAAUAGACUAAAACAAAUAUAAUUAUAAUUAGUUUUUGGUCAACUAAUUGUAGUCUAGUACUCGAUGAAUUAAAUUUUCUAUUUCAGUUAAUUCAAUAUAUUAUGGUAACCACAUCCCACUUUUAGUCUACAAUUAUAAAAGUUUCUACUUUAUAUUUGAAUUAGUCAUGGGUGAACAAUAAAUUUUGGUCAAUUAAAUUUUAUUGCGUCAUCACGACAAAAUUGCGACGAUUAUAAUUUGAUUGAAUUUGGGUACUCAAGUUUUCUCAUAUCUAAUUCAAUUCAAGCUCAGGAUGAAAAAUUGAGCCAAAACAAGGAUAAUGAGUCGAAAUCCAACCAUUAAAUGGACUCAAGCCCACAAGUAAAUGGAUCCAAGUCCAAGUUCAACAAUUAGAUAAGUCCAAACUCAACAAGAAAAUGGGUCCAAGUCCAAGCCCAUGAAAUUUCUCUAUAAAUAGAGACAUUUGUCAUUCAUUCGAGGGAUCUUUUAGUUGAAAGAAGAACUGAAGUUCUGAAGUACUGAAGCUUGGGAGUUUUUAUCAACCUCAAGAUCAACAGCUUCCAUCCUGAAGACCAAAGAUCGCUUCCAUCCUGAAGACCAAAGAUCAAAAAGUUCUAAGUUUACCUCAAGAUCAACAGCUUCCAGCUUCCAUCCUGAAGACCAAGGAUCAAAAAGUUCUAAGUUUUUUUUAACUUGUAUUCGAGAGAAAGCAUCAAAUAAAUAAAUACUAGAGAUUGUAUUUACAAUAUUCAUUAAUAUACAUAGUUUAAUUCUACGAAUUAUAUUUCUUUCGAAAUUUCGUGUGUAUAAUUAUCUCAUUAAUUAAUCAUUUUAACUCUUAUAUUAUUAAAAAUUAAGUAAUCAAACUAACGUAAGCAAAAUAAAUUCAAAACAAUAAUAUGAAACAUGCUACGAAAAAAAAUACAUAGAUAAUAUACAUUAUAUGUAGAAGGUAAAGUAUUACCCUGAUUCAAAAGUCAAGUUAAGAAAAGUAGUGAAAAAAGAGGUAAGAAUUACAUAAUAAAUGGUACAUGCAUGGAGAAUAUACAUUAUAUAUACAAUGUAUCCAUUGUACUUGUAACAAUCCAAAGGAGACCUAUACGUUCAAGUAUAAGAACUUGAGUUUGAUCAAGUUGAUCAUCAUGUGGAAGAAGUGUCUCUGUGACAGUCACAAAAUGAAGUUAGCUAUGUUUGUCCAAUGAUGGUGAUGUCAACCUUUGGUACGAGCUAUUACAGUUCAGGAGUUGAUCAAUCAUCACACUUCAAAUAAAAAUAUCACACUUUAGAGGCCGGUCUAUAAUUGCCAAACUUUGGAACAAAGUAUUAUGAUUUAGAGACCAAUCAUCUUCAUAUAUGAAUCGACAUAGGCGCAGUCUAGAGAGCAUAACGAGUAUCAAUACUAUGAUGCGCCUGUAGAAAUACUUGAACAACUCUGAUCACAACAACCAAAGAAUCAUGAGGGACUAGAGCAUCAUAAACUUUCGAGUUGGCAACAACAGCCAACUCAAAAUCGAUGACGUUUGGAUUGUGAGACACAUUAGUUUUUGAAUGAAUGAAAAUUAUUUACAUUAUCAUAAUGAUAUAAACAUUCUAAUUUACAUUUAAUUAUUUUUCUAAGUAUAAAUAACUACUAUAAAGUAAAAACGUAAAAUUGCAUAAGAAAUUAAUCAAAUAUAAACUAGAUAAAUUACCACGGUAAAUUUUCAUUUCAUAUUAAUAUAAAUGAAAUCAACUAUACAAUUAAAUUUUCACCUAAACGGAUAGUUAAUUGUAAAUUUAAAAACGGAUUACAAAAUUCCCAUAGUAAUUUAGAACUAAAUUGAAAAAGAAAAGAAAUUAAGAACUUCCAUAUUAAUAUGAAGAAAUUAUAAUAUUGAUUUUUUCAAAAAUCAAUAAAUUGAGUACUAAUUUUUUUUUUUAAAAAAAAAACUAAUAUGAAACGAUUUUAAAAAAAGAAAAAAUGGGACGAGUGUUCUUAAUAUAAAAAUUUAAAAAACAAUAUUUGAGUAAUUAGUUUAAUGAACAACAAUAUUUAACCAAAUUUUCGGGUUUGGGUUUUGGGUAACGAAAUAUUUCGUACUUUUAGCAAUUUACCCAUCCUCUUUUUAAUUUUCUGCCCUAAUUUUCGUGCUGUGGAGUUGGGUUGUUUCCAUCAAAGUCCAAAACGAGGUUGAAGAUGACUGCGCCGGAUACUGAACCGGUAGUCCCUUCUUCUUCCCAAGUGAAGGUAUAAUCUACUCUUCCUUUCUCUUUAAUGGCAUAAAGCCGCCUUCUCAACUCUUUCGGUCUUGUCGAAUUUAUUGGCGCCUUGUUAUAUUCCUACGAUACAAGUAGUUUAAUUCAGUAGUGUUAAGGCGUUUGAUUUAUUUGAAUUUUGGUAUCUCUCAGAUUGCAGUUCAUAAUCAUUGGAAAGACAUACAAUGCUCAAUUUCUUACUCAGUUUAAGAAAUGUUGUUGUUUGGUAUACGUCUUAAAUAGAUUGUGAUUCUUCUAUAAUUCAAUAAAUCUUGAUUUUUUUUCUUUUCACACGGCUGCGGGAGUAACUGGCAAUAGCCCGUUGAAGAUAUUAAUUUUGUGCGUAUUUCGGAUUCAUUCUUACUCUAGCUUGAAGUUGGGGUGCUCAUUUUAGUUUCUAGUGUUUCUAUGGUGAGGAAGUGGUAAAUUGCUUGCUCAAAUGAGACAUUGUUGCUCUCAUCUACUGAGACCUUUCCUCGAACUCGAUCUUAGUGAGUUACAUAAGCAACCCAAAGUAAGUUAGCAUCUUUUCUUCAAAAUGGCAAAGUGCCUGUGCUUUUCCAAUACAAGUUAGCAUCUUUUAUUCAAAAUGGCAAACUGCCUGUACUUUCCCCUUCCUCUCUCCCGUAGACCAACGAUCAGCUCUCUCUCGAAGUUGUUGAAGAAGUAUUAGAGAAGCUCAUGUAUUUCAUUUCACACCUCGCCUGAUCGUUUCCACUUUCCAUUCAGCUGUUCGUCUUUUAUUUCAACUUGGGAUCAUAAGACUGGUUGAGUUUUGCUAGUUUCUGUUCGUGAUUUAAACACCUAUCGUUAAUGACACCCUACAAUGGGGCCUCCCAAGGGGCGGUGGUUUUGACAGAAGAAACAAUAGACAUAGUAGGUCAGCAGGCAAGCAUCUUCUCUUGAUCGGAGCACUUUGGUUCUCUCCAUCACUUCUUCCGUUUUUCUUUUCUAGAUCAUCAGUUCAGUAUCAAAACUAAACCCAAACCAAAGGGAUUACUCCCUUGUCUAGAACCAGGAUGGAAAGUCUCUCUUUUUGGAAUAGAUAAAUUCAUUAAGUGCUUGUUGAUUAAUCGCAAAAGCUUGGAACUUCAUGGAUUUGGAGGAAUGUGCAGAAUCUUCUGUUCGAAGAUUGUGAUUUGUGAGUAAUGAGUAUGUUUUCUAUAAGAAAAAGAAAAGCGAGUGGAAAUCAACUUUGUUUUAACUUUUGUUCUCAAGAAAAGAAAAAAUUGCAUUUCUCUAGUUGUGUUUUUAUACAAAUGAAGGGAUAUGAAAGUGAAUUAUAAUUGUUUUUAGAUACUCUUUGUUUUUCUUUUUAUUUAUCGUUUCCUGCUUUCUUAUUUAUUAAAUUGUCUCAGGUGAAGAAGAAAAAGCAGAAGACCGCUGCAGUCUCUAAUUCAGGCGUAGAUCUGAAAUCCAUUAUCCAUAACCAUGCGUUGUUCUUUGAUAAGUUAGUGGAGCUUAUCCCGGUAAGGUUCUAUUUAUCUAGUGAUGAAAAAGGAAAACCUUGGUUUCAGGGCCUUAGCAAGAAAGAAAAGGCAAUGGCUAAGAAGGAAUCAAAGGAAAACCUUAAGAAAGCACGAAGAGAUCGUAUGGAUCCAGAAAAGUCUUCUAAAUCAACUGUUCAUUUGCUUAAAGAAAGCUUGGAAAAUGAAAAGUUGAAAAGUAAAAAUGACGAUGAUGGAGAUGAUGUUAAGCCAGUGGCAACUGGGUGGGACAGUGAUGACCAGUCAGUGACAUAUGAAGAACUGAGACAACGCCUUCAUCGAAAAAUUGAGGAGUUCCGGGUGAAUAGAAAUACAGGAUGUUCAAAUAGGGAAAAGAAGAGAAAUGAAAGAAACGAGAGAAGGGAAGCUAUCCAGAAGAAACGCAAGAGAGAAAAUGACUCUGACGAGAAGAAAUCAGUCACCAUGCCCUCAGAAAUUGAAAUGGAGAGGAAUGUAGUUGAGGCCUCCAAAGAACUUGCGUUUGGUCAUGUUAAACUGGGAACUGAAGAAGAGCAAGGUAAGAAUAAGAAAAAAAAACUCUCCAAGUUGAAGGAACUUGAAAAGGCAAAAAAGUUGGAAGAAGCAAAGAAAGACCCCGGAAAGGGCGAGAUAGUAUUGAAGAAGCAUUCUUGGCAAGCAGCAACAAGUAGAGCUGCUGGGUUUAAAGUUCAUGAUGAUCCACAGCGUCUGAUGAAGAGUUUACGGAAGGAAAAGAAACAACAGCUGAAGAGUGUCGAGAAAUGGAAAGGUAGAAUUGAAACCACCCAGAAGAUGAAAGCAGAAAGACAACAAAAGAGAUCUGAAAACAUAGCUCAGAAAAUCCAUGACAAGAAGAUGAAACGGAUUGAAAAGAGGGAGAAAAAGUUAAUGCGCCCUGGCUUCGAAGGUCGCAAGGAUGGUUUCAUUAAUGGAAGCAGCGCAUGAAGUGGAAAGAAGUGAGUGUAACCUUCGCAGUUUCUCCCCCAGUUUUGAGGUUUGAAUUUAAAUUGGUUAAUCUAUUCACACCCUUCAUAACUUCAUCUCAUGUAUGUUUAGGGAAGUUGUUUUAACAUCAAAGUAUGGAUUCAAAUUCAACAGUCAAAUCAGUUUUCUACCCUUGUUUGUUUUGACUAUAGUAAGCAAUUCAGCAGUUGCCCGACGAGAAGAAUUUAGUCCAUAAACUAAUCAGAUUCAUAACGUGAUACAAACGUUGAGAUCAAAUUAAUGCAAUCUGUUCAAGUUAUUCUUUACAAAUCAAAUGCUUCAUGUUGGUUGUCACCCAUGGUCUGAUGCAUUUAGCUCCAGAUGUUAAUUGUGUUUAAUGGCGAUUUGUAUUUUAUUAAUUACCAUGGCUUCUCUUCUCAUUUAAAGUAUUCAGUACAUUUGUCUUUUUGUUAUGACAAUAGCAGUUGGUUCAUUACAUUACUAGUUGUUUUCAUAUGUUUUGUUUAGUGGAUCGGCCCUUUUCACAUCUAAACACAAUGAAUUUGUCUAAGCAUAACAAAAAUAUGAAACCGCACAUCCUUGUUUCUAUGUGAAAGUUCCCAAUGGCUUAUUAAACAUUCCUACAUUGAUGGUUUUGAAAGAGAUCGACAGAACCACAAACUAUGUUAUACAUAAAAACAAAACAAGAAAAAAACAAACCCAACUGAUAUCAUACACAACCAUCCUUACUAAACCACCCUAGUUCCGGUUGUUCCUUUGGGAGGCUCGCCGGGAGCUGCUGUUCCUCCGCCCAUGCCAUAGUCGGUGUCCCAAUAACCAGGGCCAUAGCGGCGGCUGAAGAUUCCAGCAUGGAGCAAAAGCAGAUACAGAAGCUGAGUGAAAGUCAAGAUAAUUAUAAAAGCUUCCACCACUCUCAGCCUCCACCCUCUGUGGCCUCCUAUGUUGAUUUGCUUACAGGCCAACCUGUGGAGAGGGAAGAGUAACAAACCAAUGAUAUUGUUGUUGAAGGCUAUCACAGUCUAAAGAGGAGAAUAUUUUAUGGAGUCGAUUGAAAAUUACCCAAAAGCUAGAACAGUUACAGCCCAAGUGAGCAAGGAAGUUGAUCCUGCACCGGCGAGGCUGUCGCUCCUCCAUGCUCUGAUAUGGUAGAGUCCGGCCAGUUUUGAUGCUAUUCCAAGAACAGCCGUCAGCAUUGCAAAUGUCAGGAAAAACGGCGUCGCUCCGUUGCCUCCCAUACCUUGUGCAGUCCAAAACAAAACACCAUCAACAUCUCUUCUUUUAGUUUCAAGAUCGAUAUAUAAUCAAGUAAAGACACAAUCUCAAAGGUUCAGUCCGAUUCUUCACUGUCGAACUCAAAGAUAAAAUAUUUAGGACCAGUUUGGGAAACUGAGCAAUAUUUUUUUCCUCCUCAAAAUCACACAAUUACAGAACUGAUAAUAUAUGAUUUAGUUAUUUAAUCAAUUUUCUUUCCUUCGUCUAAUUUAAACUGUCAUAUAAAAUUUUCAAAUAAUAGGUUCAAAAGAUCAUUGAAAAUUUGGCUCAUAGUUUUGUUAAAUAUUUUUCAAAUUAUAAUAAGUUCAAUAGAUCCUUGAAAAUUUUGCUCAUAGUUCUGUUAAGGAAACAUGGUUUUUAGGAAAUUAUUCUAAAUAUUUAGAAUGUAAUAUAAAGGAAAAUUAUCUUUUAAAAAUAUUUAAGAAUAUAGCAAAACAUUACAAAAUAGAUACCAUCAUGAUAUUUGUGAAUUUUGGUAUAUUUGAAAAUAGUAAAAGAUUAAAAACACAAAAAGUACAUUAUUUUACGGAAGCAUUUGCAUUUAAAGUAAAAGCAAAAAAGAAUGAAAGCAUUUGCAUUUAAAGUAAAGGCAAAAAAAGAAUGGAAAGAAAAGUUACUUGGAUGGUAGGUAGUGCCAUUGAUGAAUCUAUUAAGACACCAACUAGCAAAACCCAAGAGAAUCAAAUACAUAAUCAAGUUAAGAAACAACAAUGGAGCUGCCAUGUUCCUUCCCAUUGUUUGAGCCAUCUUUUCUCUCUAACCACAACAAAAAACACUUUCAAAGAUGAAGAUGGAUAGAUAUUAUCACAAAUCCACAACAAAGAAAAGCAGAUAAGGCAAACCAAAGCGCUUUUAAUACAUUCCCUGUAACAACCAAAGUUUGUAUUUAAAUACACAUAUAUAGUAGAACCAAGCUUAGUCCCUUACAUACACGUGUGAACAAAAUGUCUUGCAUGCUUUCUCAUAGGUACACGUGUUGGGACACUUGUCAAUAACCUUCUCUUAUGUUGAUCAAACGGUGCAGGUUUCUGAUCCAGUAAGGUCUCAAUCAAAAAGUGCUUUUGUUUUGUGUUUCUUUGAUAUGGCCAACAGAAGAAUGAAUGAAGGAAUGUGAGAAUUAUGUCUGUUUCUAGCUGCUGCUUGUUUUAAUGGGAAUAAGUAUUAUGCAUUACUGUGGGAGCUGAGUUAUUUUUUUCUUUUUACCCAACAACAGAACUACUUGUAAGGUUUAUGAUUAGAAUUAUUUUUAUGUUGGGAAAGUGUAAUAAAAAUAUUCAUUCUACAACUACUAUCCUUUUUUUGUCAUGAAGGUUUUUUAAGGAUUAGAAACAAAAUGCUCAAUUUAUGAUUGGUCCUCAGUAUUUAACACUUUCCAAUUUCAACCAAUGUGCUAACCGUGAUGAUAUUGGAUAUUACAAAAUGGUAUUAGUGGAUAAUUUAUUUAGUUGGUAACAAAUAUAUCCUCUUUAGUUCUUGCACUCAGAUUCAUUGUUCUAGAAAACAAUUUAUUUGAUCCUACAAUACUGAAUUUGAGAAUUCAAUUCAUUCUCUAAAAUUAAGAUUUUUAUUAAAUAGUAAACCAAUUCAUUAUAGUUUGAAUAUCCAUCCCUAAUUCAAUGUCUCUAACAUGAUUGAUCCCUCUUUAGAUUUUAAAAGUUUGAUAUUUUUGUAAUAUUUGUGAUACCGUUUGAAGUAUAGUAAUAAUGUGACAGGUAAAACAUUAUAGAUAUUGUCAUUGGUUGUCCAUAAACAUUUUGUUGUAUUAGUUUAAUAUAUAUAUAGAAUAAUCUUUGAGCUUCUGAAUCACUCAAACUCUGUUUCUGUAAAAGAGCAGUCAGAUAUAAAAAGAAGAGGUAUGAUGCUUUUGACUUUAGAAUCAACAUAGACAAGUUUGUCUUACAAGGCACAAGGAAAGUUCAUACAGAUUUAGAAGUUGUGUUUUCGAAGCUGAGAAGGAGAAUUCAGUGUCCCGUUUUUCUCUAUUUCACGCAGCCUUGCUCUUUCCAUCUUCCUUUUGCGCCAUUCCUCCAGAGCUUUGUCACAAACCAUUCACACUUAUAUUAGAUGAGAUACAAGAUGGUGGUUCCGGCUAAACAAGUCGAUUCAACUUGCUUUUUUUUUGUUAGAAUCAGCAUCAAACUAAUAAUUGGCCUUAAGGGAAAAUAUAACCAAAGUUGAAAUGUUUAUAGGUUUUAACCUUUCACUUUUGAGUCUAGUACCAAUUUUGAAAAUUCUUUAAAAACUAAUUGGUACUUGAUAUAAAUCUCAAAUGUGUAUCUAGUAGAUCCACAAAAUUUUUAAAAUCCGAAAAAUUAGAGAGAUUUAACUUGAAAAUUCAAGUUUCGGAAUCAAGUUGGCAAAAAUCUCAAAGUCUAGGAACCUGAAGACAAACCAAAAGAAUUCAGUUGUUUUGAUUUACGGCUGGCAUAAAGGAGGAUGGGCUGGGAGGGAGAAGGUCUCAGAGCAGAAAUAUUGUACCUUUUAAACUAGAAGCAUCAUUGAGAGAACGGAAGUCUUUCAAUCUUUUAGAAAGAUCCAUUGCAGCAUUCUGCUUGGAGUCUUUGUCUUGUACAGCUUCUGUUUCAUAAUAUGCUUCCUCCUGAAUUUCCCUUACCUGAAGAAUUAUGAAGAUUUAAACUCCAAUGCAAAAGAAAAUUCCAAAUGUGCAUUGGCACCAGGGUGCAAACUAAAAAGGAGGGAUAAACAUAGUUCGAGUAAAUUCAAGUAACUAAGUCUAAAUAGUCUAGUCUUCAGUCGUUUGUUGUUUCUUUCUCCUUCCUUUUACUCAAGAGGUCAAACCAUGAGUAACUCUAUGGUAAUUGGCAUUUGCAUAGAACUUUUUCCUACAAAUUAGAGGUUCGAUCUCUCUCCCCACUGUUGUUUGUACUCAAAUAAAAUAAAAUAAAAUAAAUGAAUAAAAAGUCUUGAACUCGAGAGGCUUCGUUUUCAUUUUCUUGGAAUUAUCUUGUUGAAUUGACAAUUUACUCAUGAAACCUAAGUCUUAUGUUUUGAUGGGUUAUAGGGUAUGCUUGAUGAAGUGCUUACCCUUUUAAUCAGCUCCAAAGGUUGCAUAGAAAGUCGAAUCUCUUGAGCUUCCUUGAUAUAUUUGAGUUGAUCUGCAGUGCCAAUUUUCAGACGUUAUCUAAUUUAGCAAUCUAAUUGAGUUACACAACCACCAGAAACAGGAAAAUUAACAGCAAAAAUUAGAGAGCAUAAUCAAAGUAGAACAGAACACCAAAUUCAGACCACAAUUUGUUCACACAGCAAAGUUCAGAUAAUAAGUCAGAUUAGACAAAAAGUAUUCCCUUUACGCUUAGUAAUGUUUCAAAUAUCAAAAUAUUAAACUAGAUAAUGUCUGAAGCACUAUAUAAAUUCAUUACUAGCUCAAGGGUGAUAACAAACAAUCAGGGCAAAAAACUAUGCUCGUUCUUUCCUUCAAGCUCUACUGGGAAGGAACAGGCAGGGCUGCAGAAUUGCUUAAACUAAAAUGAUUUUUCUUUUAUGAAAUUGUUGUCUUGCAUUACCAGGUCAAGAGUGAUAAUAACAAUCGGGGCAAAAUAUACAGAGGACAAAGCAACACAUAGAACUGUGUUAUCGAAAUGGGCUGAACGUUGCAGGAUCAUUAUUUAUCCAACGUAUUAGCAAGCUCUAAUAGAAACACUUCCUAAAGAACAUAUCGAUCCAAAUUAUAUGCUAAGAGAAUUACCCAACAUUUGAGCAAGUUUACUGACUACAGCCAGCUUUUAGAUUCUCCAAGAAUAUGUGACGAAUGAAAAUUGAUCCAAUUAUACAGAUAACAAUGUCGCUAUGGCAUCACAUCACAUAAUGCCAAGUUAUAAAGUUUGAUGUGAAAUGUCAAAACAUAACAAUGACAAGCAAAGUUUGAAAGCAAGCUUUCGCACAUGGCAAGAUAAUGGUCGACCAUGAGCCUAAACUUGUCCCUUUUAAGAACCUCAAUUGAUUGCUUAAAGCAUGAAAGAGGUAAUCCUAUUUCAGUUCCAAACUUCUGUUUUGAAGGGGGGUCAAAGUUUUAGAUCAUUGUCUCCCUCUCACCUUUGAGUAAGGUUUUAAUCAGUUUGGAAGCUUACAAGUAUCGGACUUACUAUGUUCCCCACUUUCAAUCUCUCUUCUUUUGUGAAGGGAGAUAUUAGGCGCUACCACAAUCUUCUGAAGUUUCCACCCGUUAUCUCAACUCAAGUAAUGAAAGGUCAUACAAUAAUAGGACUCUCGAAAUUUGGAGAACACAUAGAUAUAAUGUUCCAUUCCAAUAACAGCCGAUUUUAUAACAGAAGAAACGGAAGUAAAAACUGAAAAUUUGAUGUUACAAUUGUGCUUUCCCAAAUUAGAUCACCUUCACUCAACUCCUACACGAAAUCUCUGCCAGAAAAUUUAAUCCAAAAAUGCAAGAUUUAAGAAUAAAAAAUUAUAGGUACAAAUGACACCUGACAGAGUAGGGAUUUCCAGGAAAGCCAAACAUGCAAAUAACAGAGGAUGCAAACAAGUCUUGGACACCAAAGUUCUUUUUUCUUUCUUUUCAUUCCCUUGGGAGUUUGUUCCAUAAACACUUCCUUUUCAUUUUAUCAAGGAAAGUUGUUUCUUGUUCCCAAAUAACAGAGGUUGCCAGCAAAUCUUAUAACCCAAUUCUGGACUAAUAUAAUCAAAACAACAAUUGCUGUUGCUAGCAGAAAAUUUCAGGUGCUUAUGAUAUUUGAGAGAGUCUGAACUUCCAGGAUAUCCAAAAUUACAAUAAUGAGAUAUCCAUUCCAUCUCAGCUACAGAUUUUUACCGAUUUACAAUGACAACUAGGGGAGAUCAAACUUCACAGUGCUAAUUUGAUCACAACAGAAGAAUGUAAAUGUUGGGAACUUAAAAGAAGACAAGUUUCAUUAUCUUGUUCAAGUCUACAACUGCCUUAGAUUCUGACUAACUGGAUUGAAGGAUUACAUUUCAAGUCCUCAAAGAUGCAAUUUCUUGUUUCCUGGUGGUACAUAUAUAACACCUUAAUCCUCAACUUAUCAAUCGCCGACAAGCAAUAUCCAAUUCAAACAACUACGUUAUCAUCUCAUGGAAUCAAAACUCAAAGCCAAGGAAAAAUCUCACCUAACUUCAUCAAAUCCCCAACAAAUAUUUCGAUUACUGCACAUGGAAUUUAUAAAAGAAAUUGGGAAAAGUAAAGAGGAGGAGAUAAGACAAACCCAGUUUGUGAUUUGUCGACAAGGGUCUGUUCCGUGAAGAAGCAACAGAUAAAAAACCCUGAAGCAGAAGAAAAGCAGCCACUAGGUUCAACAAGCACAAAGCUAUGGUGGCAUUCCUAAACGAGAACCUCAAUCUCCAUGACUGUUGGACCUCCAUUUUUUCUAUAGGUACUAUCAAUGGGUAUUCCCUUUACUUUCUCAAAUACCAUUCAACUGUUUACAUCGAAGCCGCAGAAAUUAGAAGCAACACCAGAGAAAUCUGCAGGUGAUGAUUUUGAAGAAAUGAAGGAAAUCAGUUUGGGGGUAAUUGAGAAAAAUGGGAAGAGAUUCGUAUAAAAACUCUCUCUCUCUGAAAUUGGUAGUGAAAACGAGAGAAAUUCUUCAAUUCAGUUCAACUGCUUCUCCUCUCUGUUCUUCCCUUCAUCUUUGGUUCCUUCCUAUUCUUUUUAUGUAUUAAAUAAUGUCUUAAUUACUUUGAUUAAACAUUGAUGAAAAGUGACAGCUACUUUGAUUUUACCAUGGCAACUACAACUACUCUCGGAUGGGGUCAGGUGAUUUGGGUUACUAUAGUCUAUGUUAAUAAUAGUUCGUCAAUUAGUACUUUAUUAUGCUAUGUAUUAUUAUAAGUGAGGUUUGGAUGUCGAUUAUUAUAUUUUGAGUUAUUAUAAUCCGUGCUUGGAGGUGCAUACUAUAAUUUAGGUUCAUUUUUCUAUUUUUUAAAUAUUUUUUUUGUACAUAUUAGAGGUGUUCGUGGUUCGGCUUAAAGCUAAAACCACAAAAUGAAAAAAAAAAAAUCUCAUUUGAAAGCAAACUGAACCGCUCAUCUAUGUCAAACCGAAUGAAAACCGAACCACUUGUACAUAAAUAAAACUGAAUCAAAACCGAACCACUUGUACAUAAAUAAAACUGAAUCAAAACCAAAUGGGUGCCAAAUAAUAAACCAGCAAUCAAAAUAGCCAAAUGAAUGUCAAAUAAUUAACUCAAGAUGCCAAAAAUUAAUUAAUUAAUAGGUCAAAUGGAAAAUAGGUAUUGCCAAAUAGAGGAUGAUAGUUAAUUAAUCAUGGAUAAUUAUUGAGACAGAAAAUGGGUGUAAGUAAUUUACACAGAAUGAAUGUGAGAUGGUUGCUAAAUAAUUAAAAGGAUACAAAUAAUUAAACUAUGUCAAAGCCAAAUGAUUGUCAAAUGGGUGCCAAAUGAUUAACCUAACAACUAAUUAAUUAGUGAUUUAAAUGAAUAAUUAAGACAUCACCCAAAUGGGUGCCAAAUAAUUAAUCCACUAUCAUCAAUCAUGAACAAAAAAAGAACUUACCAACACGUCUGCCUUUAAAUGCAAAAGGUUUUUUCUUGAUCCUCUUCACCUCUUCCCAAAUCACAGAUAAAAAAAAAAAUGUUUUACGUGUCCUCCUCUAUCAAAUCCUCCGAAAAAAUCUUCUCCCCCCAAUUGAAUUUCUUUUUUCUCUAUAGGGCUAGGUCUUAUUUUUUUUUAUAGUGAAAUGAAGUAGUUUUAGAUAGUGGAGUGGAGUGUAGCAGAGAAAGGGGAAAAAGGUGGGAGAGUGGGAGAGUGGGAGCGUGGAAAACAGAGCGUGGUGACGAAGAAAAACGAAAAUAGUGGAAUGGUUGAGAAAAAUAGAGAGGAGAAGAACUUUUAUUUUUAAUUUUAAUUUUAAAUAUGUUUUUUGUUUUUAUUUUUGUUUUAAAACAUAAAUUUAAAAUUUAAGAAUUAAUAAUUAAGAUUUAAAAUUUAAAAUUUAAAUUCAAACUCAAUUUUUUUAAAAAAAAUAAUAAAAAUAAUAAAAAAUACAUGACAAAAUAUGGUAUCUACCGUUUGCCCCCAUUGUCCAUCAUGAAAAUAUUUAAAUGUGGACAAAGGAAAUAGAUAAGGUAUUUGGGCCAAUUUUUUUUAUCUUUUGAGAGAAAAGAAAAAUAUCAACCUUAGCUCUAUGACUAGGUUUGAUAAAUGAGAGAAAGGACCUGAUGGACAGGUUUCAACCUCAACUUCAGAUAUGGACUCGAUUUAACCAAAUCUGAUAGACAUGCUUCGACCUCAGCCAAAAUUUCAUAAAUGAGAAAUAUUUGGCUCCUGACCAUAAGCUAAUUGUACUGGGGAGUACUUAUGAUAAGAUGUCGGUCUUAUGCAUAUAAGUGAUGCUGCAUGCAGAAUAACAUGACCCCAUACAGAUAAUGGAAGCUUUGCUCUUAUAAAUAAUGGUAUGACAAUCAAUUGUAAACGCUUGAUAAAUGAUUGUGUCAAACCAUUUUGUGUCUGAACAUGCAUGAGUUACAGGAUGUUUCAAUAUUUAUCCCAAUUGACAUGCAAUAAUUAUUAAAUGCUUGGGAUGUAAACUCACCAGCAUUAUAAAUCGAAUGUUUUUAUUGUAUAAUAAAAAAAUUGUGCUCUUAAUUUGAUUAUUUGAGCAAGUAAUCUUGCAAACGCAAGGUUUCGACUUGAUAAUAAACACAUAUGUGACAAUCUACUGGAUGCGUCAAUUAAAACCAUGAAGUAUCUAAAUGGUCCACUUGGUGGAUUAAUGGGUCCACAUAUGUUACCAUGAAUUCAUUCUAAAAAUGUAGGUGACUCAACUCCCACUUGGUUGGUGAUGACCUAAUAAUCAAUUUUCCUUGAGAGCAAGCAACACACGAUAAUUCAUUACAUUAAAGAAUCUUCUAGUUCUUCAAUAGAUGCCCAUGAGAAUUUUCAAUAAUUCUUCUCGUCAUUAUUGAUCCCGGAUGACACAAUCGAUCAUGCCAAACAGUAAACAUAUCUAAAUUUAUGAACUUCGGGCUCAUGGUUGCAUAUGUUUAAUUACUCGUAUAUGAGUAUAAUAUAAUCCAGAAAAAAAGCCGGCAGUGUUUCCAAUAUACGUUUUUUCUGUGAAACAAUAAAUGUAAUAUAAAUAUAUUUUAUAUUAUUUUUAUUGUUAGUUUCAACAUGAUAACCAUUUUUACGUAUAUCUUUGAAACUCAAUAAGUUUCUUUUUUACUUACUAGAGAACAAAGCAUUAUUAAUUGUGAAUUUUGUUCCUCUAGGCAAAAUAAGGUUUGCUUUACCAAAACCUUCAAUCGAAUUUGUAGAAUCUGAUAUUGUAUUGACAUUUGCUUCAAGAAUUGUCAAUGUAGAAAAAUACUUUUUAUUUUUAAGUAUUGUGUGCAUAGUUGCACUAUAUGCCAAACAUAAGUCUUCAUUAUUCAAAUUUGAGUCAGCCAAAAUAUGAGAAAUGUCCAUAACGCUUCAUAAAAAAGAAAUUAUAAUAAGUCUCAUGGUAAAAAAAAAAAUCUAACGUUGAAAUAUAAAUAAUUUAUAUAAAUUGAAAAAUGUUGAAUAGAGAAAACACCAAAAUAUAAUGUAAAUAUCAAUUUUGGACAUUAUCAUAAUUAAAGGAAGUAUUUUCCACUCCUUCAUUAACAUCAGUUUUCUGUUCAGGAGACUAAAAAAACCAGCAACAUCGAAAUGUGUCAUAUUCGAAGGGUCAUAGACAUCAUCUUGAUAGGCAAAGUUUACUUCCACGUUCUUCCAUUUUUCCUUUAAUGAAGCUUAAUAGAGGUCGACUAAGUGCUUGGACGUACGACAAGUACGAGUCCAAUGACCAUUCAUACCACAACGAAAGCAUUGAUUUUCACCACUUUUUAAUUUCUUAUUUUGUGGAGUUUUUCCUCUAUGAACAUCAUUUGUGGUUUUCUUGAAAUCUAAAUAAUUAUUACCACGGAAAGUAUAAUUACUUCUUCCUUUACCACGGUCACGACCUUGACCUCAACCACGACCUCGACUAUUAUUGUUUGAAGAUACAACAUUCCCUUCAGGGAAUGAUGUUGUUCCAAUUGGUCGAGAGUCAUGGUUUUUCAUUAAUAACUCAUUAUUUUGUUCAGCCACAAGAAGACAUGAUAUGAGUUCAGAAUAUUUUUUAAACCUUCUUUCUCGAUAUUGUUGUUGUAGGAGCAUAUUCGAGACAUGAAAUAUGGAAAAUAUUGUCUCUAACAUAUCUUCAUCAGAAAUUUUUUCUCCUUGUAACAAUAAUUUUGAACAAAUCUUAAAUAAUGCGGAAUUAUAAUCACUUAUUGAUUUAAAAUCUGCAACCUUAAGUGCAUCCAAUCAUAUUGAGCUUUAGAAAUAAUCACACUUUUUUUUUAUGAUCAUACAUUUCUUUUAAACUUUGCCAUAAUUUAUUGGGAUCUUUUACUGUAAGAUAUUCAAUUUUUAGUCCCUCAUGAAAAUGAUGUUGAAGGAAAAUCAUGACUUUUGUCUUUUCUUGACUUGAAGUCGUGUUUCCUUCUUUAAUUGUUUCUCCAAGAUUCAUGGCAUCCAAAUGAAUUUCAGCAUCAAGCACCCAUGAGAAAUAAUUAUACCAUUGAUAUCAAGAGCUAGAAAUUCUAAUUUGGUAAAACUAUAACAAAUAAAUUUAUUUAUAUUAGAAAUUUAAUAAACAUGUUAAACAUGCAUUAUAAAACAACUUAGAUAAAUAUCAUAUUAUGGAAAAUUGUGACAACAUACUUAUACAUAAUAUAUUAAAACAACAUGGUAAAUUGAUAAAAACAUUUAGAUAAUAAAAAUACUUACAAAACUUAUACUAAUUGAAAGUAGAUAUUUAAACUAUAGACACAAACCAUUAAGAACCCAUAAACUAUACAUAGAUCUUAAAAUAAUUGAAAUAAGAAUCAAACAUAAACAAUCACAUAAAUCAUAAAUAAAUAAGAUGAAUCAAUCAACAAUCUUAUUAUGAACUAACAAUAUUUUAACAAACAAUAAUUUUGUAAACAUAAUAUGUAAAAUUACAACAUGCAAUAGGUUCAAAAGAUUACCUUCUCAAACAUUUAAACUAUGCAUAAAGUUUAUAUGAAAUAGUUCAUGCAAUGUUCACAAGUACAAAACAAGAAAACAAACUAAUACUUUAUAGCCUACCUUUUGCAAAUGAUAAAAUUGUAGAGACUCGUGCUGAUAAUGUGUUAUAAAACAAGAACAAAGAAGCUAAAUAAGGAUAAUGAAGCAACCAAAGAGAAUAAGUAGGGAAUGGAGGAAGUAGAAAACAAUUGUACUCAAGUGUGGUGUGUCUUACAAAGGAACCACAUACCUCUAUUUAUAGGACAUGUCAUGGUAUGGGUUACACUAUGAAAUUCAAUGGGAUGAAAGUUACAUGAAAUAAAGUGAGAGUUAUAGGAAUAUUGGUAACUCUUUAUUGAAUCUGUUAUAGCAAACAAGGGCUAGUGGGUUUGUUUCCUCUUCCUCGGCCACGUCCACGACUAUUGAAGUUGUUUCCAUCUCCACGUCCAUUUGGGUUCAUACGACUAUUGAAGUUGUUUCCAUCUCCACGUCCAUUUGGGUUCGAAUGAUUUCCACCAUAUUGAUACGAGGAAUGAUUUCCACCAUAUUGAUAGGAGUUCUUAUUCUGCCGAUUGUCACCCCCUCUAUUGCGAAUUCCACCAUAUUGAUAGGAGUUCUUAUUCUGCCGAUUGUCACCCCCUCUAUUGCGAAUUCCACCAUAUUGAUAGGAGUUCUUAUUCUGCCGAUUGUCACCCCCUCUAUUGCGAACCAUAUUAACAGCAUGAUUAGAAAUAUCUUUCGUUGAGAGUUAUGAUGUUCAAGGCGCUCUGAUUGCAUAUCCAACCAAGAUAAUAUAUGUGACUGGAUUAUAUAUCUCAUCUAGCCCCAAUAACACCGGGCUCCUUCCCACUAGGUUGAUAGUCUUUUGGGAUGCCGAGCCGAAAGAUUCAUUGAUUGUUUUGAAAUGAGUCAUUGAUUCAAGGGAGAGUUGCUAAAAUUUGGAAUUGUUGAUGAUUGACUAUUUUCUCUUUGCUCUGAUACUAAGAUAAAUUUGAUAGUAUGGGGUUCCAUCUCAAAACCAAUUGGCAAUGUGAGGAGUAGUCCGUCUAUCCUAUAUGGAGUAUGAGUCCCCUUGGUUUUUUCCAAUGUAGGACUCUUAAUAUCUCCAAUACGCAAAAUUUGUUAUUUACGAACCUUGACUAACGAAUUAUUACUCCUGAGCAACCUGAAAUGAUCAUGAAAAAAAGAAAGAUUAGCCACCAACUUCUAAAAUAAAAGAGAACAAUGACAUUAGAAAGUAGAAGGAGGGAAGACAUACCAAUAUUGUUUAGUCGGAAGUCUACUCGUACAUUACAAGAAAAGUAAGAUAACAUUAAAUAGAAGGUUAAAAGGAAAAACAAAACAAAAAAGCCCACCCCUAAAGGUUUGAAAUCGAAUGUCGUUUGUUAUAGUGUAGUAUAUAACAAAAAGAUCAAAUUAAUUAUAAAAAGAUAGAAAAAAAAAGAUGAUAAGUAAAUCUCUCGAUGCAAAACAAUUGGAAUGCCAAAGAUAAACAAUGAAUAAAGAAACAUACCAAGAAAUGUUUUUUUAACUAAUUUAAUUUUUCAUCGCAUUUUAAUUAAUUAUUAUUUUAAAAUUUAAUAUUAAUUUAUUUUUAUCCCUCCAACUAAAAAAUGGACUCUCACAUUUUAACUUAAUUUAUUUUUCUUCUCCUAUCGACUUCUUGUAUUGAAUGACCCACUUUGUAUGUAUUGACUCCGUCACUUCAUAUGUGUCACUUUUAAUAACAAAACAUUUAACCAUAAAAUGUAGCAUUAUUUGUCUUUACAAAUCAUUCCCUUACAUAAUUCUAUGUUGUCACUCACCAUUAGGACUAUAAAUGGAUAGUGUUCUCGAACGCUAUCUAGUGUAUUCAUGAUUAACUCACUGAGUAUAUUUGAAGAAAAUUCAUGUUCAUGACCUUCGGAGUCCAUCUCUUCGAAUUUAUCAUCGGUCUCUAUUUUAAAGUCUUUAUAUUUAUUGUUAGCUAUAAUUUCUUUAUUAUCGCACACUGAUUGUGCAUUUAAGUUUAUACCCAAAUUAUCUAUUUAAGUUUCCACAUAGAGGUUGGUCACAAUCAACCUCAUCGACACCAUUUAUAAUAUGAUCAAUUAUAAACAACAUAAAUGACACAUUUGUUUGUCAUUUUCUGAUUGGUUUUAAUUUUUGGGUUGAAUGUUUUUGCAUCUUUUUUCAUAUUAGUACUUCUACUUCUUACAUAUUCUUAUGCGUGAUUUUUUAUCUCCUCUUUCAUAAUUCUUUGUCAUUUCUCAUCUUCGACGUCACCAACUUAUUCUUUUUUCAUUAUCAUGUAUUAUGUCCUUCUUUUUUCAUUAUAAAUCUAAAGGAUCGUUUGGAUCGUUUAACAAUAUCAUUUAGAUUUGGUAUCCUCACAUUACAUCAAUAGUGUCUAAGAAAUUUAUUUUGAUCCUACCAAAGUUAUGAUAUAAAUUUUCUAAUAUCUAGUAGGUUAGGAUCAAAUUUGAUAUUUUCUUCGCUUUUUUGAUCUUUUUUGCUCGAAAAACAAUAUUAAUAUCAAUAAUUAUUCUAAAAUAUUUAAAUUCAUGUUUUUUAAACAAAUUGUUUUAAACAUACAUAUAUAAUAAUUAAAAAAUAAAUUUAAUAAAUAAUUAAUGAAAAGGAUAGAAAAGAUAAAUAUAAAUAUUUAAAUAAGUUUUUAUUUAUUUAUUUAAAAAGAAGUUUUCAGAACAGCUUUAUUUUGAUAUUUAAUCCGACCUCCCAAGUAAGAACAGAAAAGCAUUAAAUGGAUGAAAAUGGUGGAUGUGGAAGGUCAUAAGAAGUGAGAGAAAAAGAUAGUUUGAUAGAAGAAGAAGCGAAUAACAGUAAAGGGAGAAGAGAACGAAAAAGACUGAUGGGGUCACCAACUACGUAAUUUUACCCAGCAGGCCAAAGAUCGUGGGUCUUCAAAAUUUAGGCCGAAUAUCAUUUGCAUCCCUCAAAGUAAGGCAUCCGGACAAAAAGCCCAUGGAUUAGCAUUGGGUAAAAUGAGAUUUUCUUCAAACCCACCUAGUCUGUAUUUCCCUUUUAUCUGAAAGAACGGAUAACUGGGUACCUCCCUUUGAAUUUUGGUAAGCCGCUAGAUAAUAGAGUGCCCGGUGUUUCUUUAAGCAAACCACCUCGUCCAAACUCCGAACGGGUCACGCCGGCGGCAGGUUUUUAUUUGGGUUAGUCUAAAAAUUUCAGCACGUAAUCGUUUUGAUUUCUUUAGUCACCCCUUUUGUUCGAUGGGUGCUUCUUAAUUUGAUUUCAAUUGCCUUAAAACUUUGAAAUUGUUCAUGGGUUUCUUCAUUUUACCUCUUUUAUUAAGUUGCUUUCAGUUCUCAAUGUCUUUUUUUUUUUUUUUCUCUCAUUUCCAAUCCAUUUUUUCAAUGUUUUGCAGCUGUGUUUUUUUAAACUGUUGAUGCUGGAAGAAUAUUAGGGACUACAAGAAUGGCAUUUGUAGGAUUGAGAUGCAUUCGAACUCUACCAUUGUUGUUUCACCCUGCUGCUUUGUUUUCAAGAAGGAAGAAAGUUUUGUAUUUCUCUGUGAAAGCCUCACAGUCCCAAACAGCUACUCAAGAAAAGCAAAGACCUAUGGCCAUUUCACCACAUUUUGAUAAACAGAUUAUUGAUAAAAUAUCUAAGGAUUAUGAAGCAGUUAUUGGUAUUGAAACCCAUGUCCAGCUCUCCACUCUCACCAAAGCCUUCUGUAGCUGCCCUUACAAUUAUGGUUCUUCACCAAACACUAAUAUCUGCCCUAUUUGCAUGGGGCUUCCUGGUGCCUUACCUGUUUUGAACUCAAAAGUGAUUGAGUCUGCAGUGAAGUUGGGCCUUGCACUAAACUGCAGUUUAUCUUUCAACUCAAAAUUUGAUAGGAAACAAUACUUUUACCCUGACCUUCCUAAGGGAUAUCAAAUAUCUCAGUUUGAUGUCCCAAUUGCAAGUGGUGGUUACAUUGAUCUCGAUCUUCCUAUUGAGUAUGGUGGGGGGCAUAGGCGAUUCGGUAUCACCAGGGUUCACAUGGAAGAGGAUGCCGGGAAGCUGCUUCACUCUGAAAGUGGAAGCUACUCUCAGGAAAUGACUUUGUAUCCCUAAUCUCAUAGUUAUAUGAUCUUAAUUCCCAACAAAUAUUUUAGCCUAUGGUCUUAGCACACCUUCAUUUUGAUCAAGUUUAUGACCAGUUUCAAUAUGUGAAUUUUAUUAAUGUUGAUUUUUUUUGUCCUUGGCUGGAAGUUCGACUGUUUUAAGUUAUUUUUUUCAGGUUGACUUGAACAGAGCCGGAGUGCCAUUGCUUGAGAUUGUUUCUGAACCUGACAUGAGAACUGGGAUUGAAGCUGCAGAGUAUGCUGCAGAAUUACAGAGGUUGGUUAGAUAUUUGGGUGUAAGUAAUGGAAACAUGCAAGAAGGUUCUCUACGGUGUGAUGUGAAUGUCUCUGUCCGUCCUAUUGGGCAGUCACAAUUUGGAACAAAGGUAGCUUAGUUCUCUUACAAAUAUUGUUUCUCUGCAGUAAUUGGUAAUUGGAAGACACGUAGGGACUGUUUGGUCCACUGAGUGGAUUUAAUAUGUUGGUUAGGAAGUUUGUGUUUGUGGUGUGGAGUUUUAAGAUGGAUUUUCUCGAUAAAUGUGAAAAGUAGACAAAGAUGGAAAGAUGAAGUUACUCAAUAAAUGUGCGUUUACCAUUGAAGUUGAGUUGAUUAACACAAACUUAAGAAGUUGGUCAUCCAAACGGUCCCUUAAGUGUUUUAUGAUUUGGUAUGCAGUUCCCAUUAGCGUAACUUUGCAAGAAUGUAGUUGAAUCCUUACAAAUUUUAAAAGCAUGUUUAUGUUGUAUGUCCUUGAAGGGACUCAACCAACAUCUUUGUCUCUUUCAAAAUUUUAGAUGAAUGGGUGGUUGAUGAUCAAUUGUUCUUAGCUUCUUUAUAAAUACCAUUAUCAACAACUAAUGAUUAGGUACUUUGAUUCAAUUAUUAGAGCACCCACUAGCUGAACUUAUGUUUGUGAAAUUAUGUAUGCUUCUUUUCAUUGAUAUGUUGAUCAAAAAGUCUUAAAUUGAUAGUAAUUUGUUGAAGUUUGCUAGGAGGUGAGAAGUUGUAGGGAAGGAGGGUAUGUUUGUAAAGAGGUAGACAAAAUGUGAGGGUAAGAAGAAUUUUCUGGAGAGUAGGAGAAAUAUAAAUGCAGGAUCUUUGAGUUUUCUAUCAAGUCUAUGUUCUUUCUUUUGACUAAGAACUGGUUAAUGGCAUUGUGUGGUCUCGUUAAGUAUUUAGUCGCACUCAUUGAUUCUCAGGUGGAGAUAAAAAACUUGAACUCAUUUUCAUCGGUGAGCAGAGCAAUUGAUUUUGAAAUUUCAAGACAAGUGCUUCUCCAUAGUCAAGGCCAAAGUGAUCAAAUUGUACAGGAAACCAGACUCUGGGAAGAAGGCGCCCAGGUUUUUCUUAGGUUUAUGUAUGCUAUCCAUUUAUCAUCAGGCAUAACUUAUGAUGGUUCUUUCUAUUCUUGUCCACUCAUGUGCUCACCUGUGUAUUAUUGAUUAGAAAACAAUUACAAUGAGGAAAAAGGAAGGACUUUCUGAUUAUCGAUAUUUUCCAGAGCCUGAUCUCCCAGAAGUCAUCCUAACAAAAGAAUAUGUUGAAAAUAUUCAUGAUUCUUUGCCCGAACUUCCAGAAAUGAAGCGUAGAAGAUAUGAGAGUAUGGGCCUGAGCAUGCAGGAUGUACUUUUCCUGGCAAAUGACAUCAGUGUGAGUUACUAGAGAAUUUCUACACACUAAAUAAGUUGGUUUUGGGUAUUGCAAUGUAACUAUGUUGUAAAAGGGAAUUGAAGGUAAGGAUAAAUAUAAAGUUUUUACAACACCAACCAUUUUAUUAAAACUUGUUACAUCUUGUAGAAAUAAGGCAGGAGCAGAACAAUACCUAACAUAAGUAAAGAUCUCUGGCUUCAAAAGGAAUCUCCUGAAAAGGGAGCAAACUUCCGCAGCAAAUAGAGACAAAUAAAAGCUUUUUAGUUUAAUUAGAAGGAAUGCCCCUACAAUUUAUCUUUUCUAUUCGUGGUACUUUUGUGUUCUUAAGUUCUAAAAAAUCAUAAAGAAAACAAGCUAAAGUUCAAAGCACAAUUUUUCUAAGCUAUGUGACAUUGUAGGUGGCUGAGUUUUUUGAUGCAACUAUUGCAAGAGGGGCCGAAGUGAAGCUGGCUGCUAAUUGGAUAAUGGGUGAUAUUGCUGCGUACAUGAAAAAUGAGAAGUUGACUAUAAACGACAUAAAGCUCACUCCUCAAGAGCUUGCUGAAUUGAUCGCUUCAAUAAAAGGUGGUACUAUUAGUGGAAAGAUUGGGAAAGAGGCAAGUUUUUCUUCUUGCAUACGAGAUUCUUCAAAAUGUUUUUCAUAGUGUUACUGGCAUUCUAAAUUUGAUGAUUGAUUCUAAUCUAAAUGUUAACAUCUUUUCCUUCUAAUUAGAUGACAGAUUUUCAUCUGCUGUCUUAUUGAUGCAUUUUCUUUUCAUAUGCUGUAUAGAUUCUUUUUGAGUUGCUAGCUAAAGGUGGAACUGUGAAGGGGCUGAUUAAAGAUAAGGAUUUGGUUCAGGCAAGUUGUUUAUUAUCAAAAGUUGAUUGUCAAUUGUUUUCCCUUGACUCAAAUUAUCUUUCAUAUUAAAUGUUGAGUGGCUGAAUUGAUUGCUUAUUGAGUGGCUAAAUUGAUUGCUUUCUGGACUUAACUGUGUCUGGCUAGAGAAAUAGUUUAAACACUUCCACUCAAGAAUAAUUUGUAUUGUGUAGUAUUGCUUAAUGGACUAUUUCAGCUCAGUUUACCUCAAAUAAUAUACUUCCAUAGAACUUCAGCAAGGGUUAUUAUAUGUAUAGUUCAAUGAACAAGAACCCCAAAGAAUUUUACUCUGAUGCAAGUUGGAGCGUUUUUACUGGCAGAUCUAUUCAUUCUAGAUAUUGUAGUGGAGUUGGGGGAAGCUAGAAUAGCUUAGACUAAUUGUUAAAAGGAAUGAAGCCAAUGGAUAGCUGUUUUAUAUUUUACUUAAUAAUGACAAUAGGACACAAAUAACUGACUGCAAAGAUCUUCGAUUCUGGCUGUUUUGUAAUGGCAGAUUGCAGAUCCUGCUGAGAUAGAAAAAAUGGUGGAAAAAGUAUUGGCAGAGAAUCCGAAGCAGCUUGAGCAAUAUCGUGGGGGCAAAACCAAGUUGCAAGGCUUUUUUGCAGGCCAGGUGAAGUCUAAGUCUAGUCAAUAUCACCAUCGCAAAUCCACCCUUGCCGAUUCUCGUUUUUCCUGUCAUGUUUGUCAAAACAAUAAUCUAUUUUUGCAGGUAAUGAAAGCAUCCAAAGGUAAAGCAAAUCCAGGGCUUCUAAACAAGAUCCUCUUGGAGAAAUUGAAUGCGCAAAGCUGAUGAUUUUGUUCAAUGGGUACGUAUAAUUUGUUGAGAUUUGGGUUGCUUGAGACAAUGGUGACUAAAAUAUUGGAGCAGAUUUCAGUCAUGGUCUCCCCUUCAAGCUCCCCUGCACAAAAAUGAUGAGGAAUAGGUAGAGCUGCAGAAUUUCUUUAAAGUAUUAUGAUUUUUUGCUGAAAUCGUUGUAUUGCCAUUAUUUGGUGACACUUUCACCCUCUAUUUUCACUCUCAUCUACUUGGCUAAGGUAAGUUAGAGCAGGUAAAAGUAUAGUUGUAGGAGAAAAUAUAUUUUUUAUCCUUACUAUGGAAUUGGUUUCUAAUAAGUGCCUAUCGUUUGUACAAUGUGCUGAAAUGAUCUCUUCAGUCACAUGAGAGAUUGAUAUCGUUAACAUGGUCUUUCUCUCUUUAUCAAUCUUUUAAUGAAUACCAAUAUUAUUUUGUAAAAAAAACAUUUCACAUGUUAUUUUGUAUCGAAUUUUUAAUCCAAAACUUUCACUUGGUAUAAAAACCAACCUUAAAUAGCGUUGCAAUUUCAACUUUUUAAGGGAGAGUUUAGGACAAGUAGCAGAGUUGUUUUUCUUUUCUUUUGAAUAUUUCACACCUUCAACCUCUAAAAAGAAAGAGCUUAGCAAUGGAGUUAAAAUAUUGAAGUUUGUGAUAAGUAGAUGGUGAUCACGAUAGAUUAGGGUCAAGUUUUGAAAGUUUUAAAUCGAGAAUAUUCAAAAAGUGUUUUAAAGUGUCAAACCAAUCUGACCAAUGAUCCUUACUCAUCAAUAUCAAGGUUGGUUUGAACAUUUACAAAACCAACUGUGAUCGAUUCGAAGUCGGUUUUAACUCCAACCGACCAAUAACCACCCCUAGUGAUAAAUGUAUGGUUAACACAUUAUCCUUUCUCAUCCAUCAUAGUCUUCAUCUUCACCACUUUCCUCCUCCAUUUUCAUAAGAAAUAUUGAGGAUCUUUACAUGAUUUUCCUCCAUUUUUUUUUAUAGAGGUUUGGUGUAUGUCAACAUCUCCUUCACACAGAAGUAAAUAAAAGUUGUGUACAUUUUUUUAAUAACUUUCUUUAGAUUGUUAUUUUAAUAAUUUGCAAUUAAGUAGAUAGUAUUUUUCUUUGAUGUUUUGCUUAGAGAACAGCAUAAACAGUUUAAGAACUUUGAUAUUUUAAUCAAAUAUGAAAAUAAAAUUUAAUACUCCAAUUGUAGGUUAUUGAUUGAUAAAGUAGAGUGAACUUUAUUUUCUAUAUAAAAAAGAUUAUUUAAUUAAUGUCUCUCCAUUAUGGACUUGGUUGCAAUUUUUGUGACCCUAUAAAUUUCAUUGGAAAAGUUUCCAACAUUUUGGAUCCAAUUUCCAAUGACAUUAUUUUUUGUCACAUUUAAAGUGGCCAUUCAUAAUCUUUUAUUUUGAUUAAAUGAUUAAUUUACAUAUAUAUACAUGGAACCUAACAAUAAAUAAAUAAAUAAUUUUCGGACCGUGUAACAAAACAAUGAAACUCAAAAACCACGAUUAUUUUUACAUAAAUUCCAGAUUUGUCCAUGUUGGUUUUGAAUAUUGUGGGACGAUUCUUUACUUCUAUUUAUUUCUCUUAUUUGUGAUUUUAUUCAUUUUCUCUCCAUAUUAUUAAUUUUUUUCACAUUAUUACUUCUCCUUAUUCCAAUUUCAUCUUGAUGGUGAUUUCUUCAUUUUCUCUUCAAAAAUUUCUUCCUUCUUCAUCAUUCUAUCCUUUUUUUUAUACUACAUAAUCAUGUAUCAAAAUCUGAACGAUUAGCCGUCUAUCCCGGAUAAAUAGAGAUAGAUUACUAUCUAACUAAGAUAUCGAGACUUGAUUUAAACGAUCAUGUACCAAUAUCUAAACAAUCUUGGUACACAAUCGUUUAGAUUUGAUACAAAAUCAUUUUACCAAGAUUUGAACGAUAUGUAUCAAGCUUUUCACGCGCUUGUGUGACCCGUUAAUCACAAAAUAUUUUUGUUAUUUCACGUUGUGAGCUUUUAAGCUUUUUUCGUUUUUAAAAUUAUUGUGUAAAUAUUUUGAUGUUUUGUCAUAUUUUUUUUUAAAAAAACCUCGGAUCUUUUUAAAGCCUUUUGAAAAAAAAAUGUAGGCUAUCAAUAGAAUUUAAAAUAUUUUCGACGACAAUGGCAACAUUUAGAAACUACUUUCUUGAAUUUUCUAUAUAAAAAAAAAAAAGGAAAAUUUGGAUUAUUCUAAACCAAUAAUGAUUAAAUUUUUCUGGUAAAAUCUCUUUUGAAAAGAUUGGUGGAAUGAUAGAUGAACAUGUAUAAGAGGAAUCAAUUACAUAAAGUGUUUUUUUCUUAUGAUACACGAUAGCAUACUAUUGAAAAAAUACGUCAUGGUUGUCCCAAGAGAAGAGUUCAUGAGAGAGUAAUGCUUGAAAGUAUGUAUCCAAUUGACUGAUAAAACAGAGGAGCAAGCACACUAGGCCCCGUUUCUCUUAUAAGGCAGUGAACCCCUUGGGGUUAGUCCUGAAUCGAUAGUAGUUGUAUGAAUGAAAAUCAUUUUUUUCCUAUUGCAAGAGUGCCUGCUACGACGCUUGCUUAGAUGAGAGUGGAGUUCCUUCACCUCCAACAGCUCCCUCUUGUAACUCGAGCUGCUUCUAACCUCUUAACUAAUGAUCAGAGCUGCUAAGAAGAGAAUGAAAGAGAAAGAAACGAUCAUGAAAGAUUUUGCUCGGUUUUUCAGACUCUUUAAAGUAAAGACGGUUAAGCAUAUUAUCUUUAUUGUUUUUUAAGUUUGGUUAAAUUUCAAAAUCUUAAAGUUUUUCCUGUGUGCAAUUAUUCACUUUUGUUCAAUUGAUGAUGAGGUAAUUACAAACAUAAAUAAUUACAUAUCAAUGAGAAAAACCAACCAAAAAAUAACUUGAAAGCCACAAACUUCUCAUUUUUCUAGCAAAUUGCAACAAACUCAACUCCAUUGAUAUCAAAUCAAAGUGUUUUCCCUUUAUGUACAGUAUGAGAAAGCAUCCACCCAAAGUAUACACUUUUGUAUGGUAACCACUCUAUAAUAAGAGAUUUUAAGGGCUAAAAUCAUAUGGCCUAUAAAACCCAAAAGUAAAAAAGAAAGAAAAAAACUAAGGCCAGCAAGAACAGAACCAGCUGCUUUGAAACACUUCAAAAUCCCAAAAGACCAAAAAAAAAAAAGCCAACAAAAAAGCAAAAAAGUAGAUGUAAAUGUAAAUCUUUCAACAGCAACCCAUUUCUCAUUGUCUUCUCUACUUCUGUUCUGUAGUCAAACUGUGCAUUGUAUUUCAGGUUUGGGUAGAUCUAGGAUGUACUCAAGACAGACAGUAGCGUUUUUCAGAUAGGUUUGCUCCUUUGUUUCAUUUUGUUGUCUUGAGAUCUUGGUGCUGCAAUGAAGCUAGCUAAGUUAAGGAAAUAUGUGAACUGAGGAGAAAAUAGGAAGCUGAGUACAAGAAGAACAUCAACUACCUAGUCCGUUGGCUUCAGAUGUCCUCAUGAUACGAAGUCUUCGAACAGAGUUUACGAACAUCCUAAUCCAUGAAAAACAUGAACUUAAUGUAAGAAAUGACAUAUAAGAGCACAGGUUAAUUAAAAGUACGGUUCAAAUGAUUAGCUUCAACCCAUCCGUCGAUCUCCCUUCGGUUGAUGGAAUUGGAGAUGAUCUAAACCUUUUUUUUUUAUUAAUUUGAAGACAUAGCAAGACUUAAGAAAUGAGAGCCAAUAGUGCAUUGAUCUAGUCAAACAAGAUCAGAUAUGUAUAUAGAUCCUCUCAAAUCUCAAACACUUUUGUAACUCGUCUUUGCAUCUCAUGAAUCACAAUGGAAUUUAAUAUGCCAAGUGGCCCAAAUAUUUUUCAUCAAACUAGUUUAGCUUUUGCUUCUUUAUUAAAAAAGUUUGCAAGAUUUUAGAACUGAGAGUCGAGAUUCGACACCAAGCAUAAUCAGACAACUAGAUGCGGAAUCUAUCUUCUUUUGUCCACAAAAUUCAAUCAUCUAUAUCUGGUCUUCUAUAAUACUAAAGCAUAGAGAUUAGAUCUAAACUAACAAGUAAAGCAACAUACCCCCAAGGGACAUCCCCAACCAACAUCCAAUCUCCCUCUCUAUCUUCAUAUGUGAGUACAAACUCAGAGGAUCCAUCCAAAAGCUUAGACUGCUUCUUUGCUUGUUCUUUGUCUCCACUUUUCCCUGAGAAACACCACAACAACAAAAGUAAAUCAAAAGGGAAAAAAUGAAGAUUUUUUGUCCCACGUUUGUUAAUGAACUGUUGAGGCUGAAUUUCCAAACUAAGAAUAAAACUAACCAUUGGUAAUGGAGGCUCCAGCAGACCUGAAAAACAUGUCCUCCAGCAUCAGGGCCAAGGUUUCAUAGCAAGAAUGGGCAUUGAGAUCCACUUUCCUCCCUAUCACAACCCCAUCCACAUUCACUUUGACAAAUCCCAAGUGCCCUUUUCCAUCAACAUCGCAUGUUUUGUUCUUCAAAGUGUCCUUGGACUGAUCUUUCUUCUCCUCACAGCCAGCAUCCUCUUCCUCAGCUCUGGCUGUCUUAGCUUGGUUGACCAAGCUAUUCAUCCUAUAUGUUCUAAUAGGUGGCCACCCCACAACCUGACUGCUUCACAUAUUUACAACAAAGUCAUCAGAAAACUCCAAUAAAUGAAAAAACACAUAACAAAUCCAUUCUGAAGUUUUACAAGAAAAUGCAAAAUAACGUAUAACUAUAUAUAUAAAAAAAAGACAAACAUAAGGGGGUAAUCAGAACUAACUUAAGAGCAGUUGGAGAUCCUCCUUCAUUAGGAGCAGAGUCAGCAGCUCGUUUAGUCCCAGAAACAGAAACAGAGCAAGUAACCUCUCUUCCAUGAAAACGAGAAGAGGAGGAAGAAGAAGAAGAAGUAGAAGAAGAGCCACAAUGAACAGGGAAAUCCUGAGCAGUCAAAAUCCGACCACGCUCACCCCAAGUAACACCGGUAACCUUGCCACCACCGCCGCCAAGGGCUAAACCAAGGCCCAAUUCGAGGUCAGAGGAGGCAGGAGAGGGAGAUGAGAGGAUUGGAAUGUUACCCACAAAAUCUUUCUGAAGAAUGUCCAUUGUGGAGGCAUUAGAGUCGGUAAUGGCGGACCCAGAAACAGACCCACCCAGGGGAGAAGGGCGGAAAAGGCCCAAAGUAGAUUCCAUGGAGGAAAAUGGGGAUUAGAAAAGAAGGGAAGGUUUAGAGAAUGGGAAAUGGGAGUGGAAGAGAAGGGGAUUAAGAGGGUAUUGAAGAAGUAAGGGAAGUGUUUACGCCAUGGAUUGAAGCAGAGAGAGAGAGAGAGAAGAGAAAUGGGGUCAGGAUGUCUGGUGGUGCGCAUACCACUCAUACCAGUAAUCCAUGCUUCCUCUUUUUUCCCGACAACAAUCAUAUUCCUCUAAUCUAAUAAACAAACAUAUUAAUUGAUUUAUGCAAAAAAUAAUUAAACUUUUUGUUUAUAUUAUAAUCAUUUUAAUUUCAGUUUUUUUUCUUCUACUUUCAUUUUGUAAUGUGUAAAUUAAUAAUGCUGAUAUCUAUUCUUCUCAAACAUAAAUAAAUUAUCUGAUAUAAUUAUAUUUUAUUUCAAUAUAUAGUUAUAUAAAUAUUGCCUAAAUUUUCCUAUUUUUUACAUUAACAUUAUUUUAAUGAACUAUUAAUUUAUGCAGACUUCUACCAAAUUUACUUUUUCAUAUAUAUAUAUGCAUACAGCAUACAUAUAUAUCAAAAGAAUUUCUCACGGUUGUGAACUUUUAAAAAAACUCUCUUUAAAACUUACACAAGUAAGAAAAGUUUGUAAAGAAAUGUUGAUAAACGAAAGCAGGAAUAAGGAAGAAGUUUCAAAGCAAAAAGAAGGACAUAUAUUUGAUAUAUAAAACAUAUUAUCAAACAUAUAUUUGAAUUUUCCAAAAAUAAAUAUAUUUGUUAGUGCAUGAACCAGACAAUUUAUUUAUAUAUUGUUAUAUAUAUAUACUAAUAUUUACAUUUCCAAUAUAUAUUUGUAAACAUGCCAAAAAAUUAAAUCAUGGUAUGAUCUAUAUUUUGUUGUCAUUAUAUAAUUGUUAGUAUAUCUUCAACAUAUGCUCUGGAUCUCAAUGGAAAAGUGGUUGGUUUGAGGGAGGAAUAUGAAAAAUAAAAAUGAAAUCUCUUACAAAUGUAUUAAAAUAUUAAUUUAAAAUCACAUGCAAAAGGGAUAUUUUUAAAAUUAAUAAAAUAAAUUAAAAUAUUUACAAAAUAUAUCAAAAGUUUGGAUUCUAUUACGACUACUAGGAGGAAAAAUAUCAAUAUCUACUAUUGAUAUAAUCUAAAAUUUUUGCUAUAUACUGUAAAUAUUUUGCCAAAUACUUAAAUAUUUUUAAAAAUUUUAAAUAAAGUUAAAAAUGGUAAACUAGGGUGUAAAAACGUAAUUUCAUGUAAAAAUCUCAGCGAACUCUAACCUUGUUUCCUUGUUUAAGGGACAUAAUAGGUCUGAAGAGAUAAAUCUUAGGAAUCUAUGGAGAGACAUAUACAUGCAAAUACCUAACAAAAGUGAUUUCUCCCAUAUAUAUGAAGCUUAGAUGGAUUGUUCUACCCAAGAUUGUCACAGCUAAAGAACGAUCAAGAUAUAGUAUUUUUUUUAAACAUCAUAUCUCAGAUAAAGAACUAGGGUCUAUUAAUAGGCACCACACCUAUUUAGCCACUAUGCUUGACUAAAAAGUUUUCAAACUCCUUAAACCCAACCAACCUAAAAAUUAUCUUAAUAAUACCCGUUAAAUUUUAGAGUUAGUAUGAGAUGAUCUUCCACCAGAAUUUUGCCACACACACCUUCAAAUAUCCUUACAUAAUCAUUAAGAUGCCCCUCUUGCACGGUAGUUUUACAAAACAAUAGACUACCACCUGCAAGUACGUAUGAGAGUAUAUAUAUAAGUUAUUGGACAUUGCUUUCUUGAUUGCACCGGAGAAACCUCCCCUUGACAGGAGCCUUCAACGCAAAACAAAAAUAGAUAUGGAGAAAAAUAAUCCCUUUAGCUCAAACCAGACUUUAGUUGCAACAUUUUCCUCGGUUGUUCAUUACAAAAUUAGUUGUCACCGAUGAAUCAUGAUACACGGUCGAUGAUUAAGCUCGCCCACUUUUUGUCAUACCCCUACCUCAUGCAUAAUGCCUCUAAAAAAGGAUCAUGCAACCCUAUCAUAUAUUUUAUGCUCAUAUCCAACUUUAGUAUUGUAGUACUCUCCCUCCCUACCUAUGAGCCAUAAUAUGAUGAAUACACUCAUAUCCUACCAAAAUAUUAUUCGAAAUCAAUCUAUCAGGAACAAAUUAAAAAUACUUGAACUUUAUCUAUUGACAAAAGACUUGGUGAUGACUUUGUAAGACACGUUGCAUAGACUAAUUGACUUAUAAUCGAAUACUUCCAUUAGAUGUGUGAGCUUUGGUAUAAAAACAAUAAUAUAUAUGUGUGAGUGACUGAUUAAACUAAUGCAUCAAUGCCCCUUGACCAAGGCACGAGAAGGCAAGCUAUGUUCCAACAUUUUGCCCUUCAAAAUGUUAUAAUUUUGUUGAUAAAAACAACAUAUAGGAAAGUCAUCCAACCAUCUGCCAUUGAUUGGAAACAUUUGGAGUAAUAUCUCCUUAACAAAACUAUUCAUUUCCUCAUUUCAAUCACUUUCUCUAUACACCUUUCUUUCCGAUACAUUUCUCCAAAUUUCAAACUCUUAUCCACACUCUUUUUAGUUCUUUUAAAAAUAUUUUCCGAGUACAACUUAGUGCUCGUGAUAUUUAUUGAAUGACAAUUAAUAUUUUAAAAGUUUAAAAAGACUAAAAUUAAUUUCUAUUUUUUAAAAAAAUGUCAAAAGUAAAAUAAACACUUAAAAUUGAGUUACGACCAAACAUAAACACCAAAAUAAGAUUAAUGUUUUUUAUAUAUAUAUGAAUUCAAUUGUACCGUCCAAAGAUAGAUCGAGGUUAACCAGUGCUAAAAGAAAAACAUUUAAUUUAGAAAAAAAAAAACAAUGUUGUAAUGCAAAUUCUUGAAACAAGAAGGGCUCAAAUUUUGGAAAAAGUGGAACAUGGUAAUAAAAUUAUCGUCCUUUGAUGUAAUAAUUAAGUUUUGUGUAUUAUUAGGUGUAAUUGGAAUUAAUUUGUCUUCUUUGUUAUGGGUUCUUGGACUUAAUUAGUAUGAUGGUAAAUCAUUUCAUUUAUAACCUUUUUCAUAACCUAUAAUAAUCUCCAUAAUCUAAUUAUAUCUCUUUAAUUAAACGAUAAAACAAAACUCUUUUCUUUUCAUUUCUUCUUUUAAAUUAAUAUUAUUUUAAACAUGAUCAUUCAUCACAUCAUUAUAGAUAUAUGAAUACUACAAAACAUCGUAAGAUAUUAAAUUCGAAUGAAAACUUCACAUUGUCUCUAUCUAUUUUACUCUUUAGGAGAAAAUAAAUUAUAUAUAUUUGGUGAUUUUUUUUUAAAAAAAAAAAAGAGAACUAUUUUUUAUACUUUUAUUUAUCUUUAAUUUUGAAAAAGAAAAAUUAUAUUAUAUUUCACUCAAAUUUUAAGAUGCUUGUCUUCAAAAUUUAUUGCAAAUUUUGAGACACUUUCAUUAGGUAGUUUUUUAUGAAAAAAUAUAUGUUUAUUUAUUAAUAAUUUUUUUAAAAGUACAUUACCAAACCAGGAAUUUUAAAAAAAUAUUUUAAUAUUAAAACUACUCAUAAAAUAUAUCAAAUCCAUUAAACUUUUUAUUUUUACUAUAUUUUAUAAAUUGAGAAGAAAAAAUUGACUUCUUUUAAAAUUUAAUUGAAAUUUCAAAAUUAAUUUUAAAAAAAUUAAAGAAAAAAAUGGAAUAUAAACUAACUUCAUUUAUGAAUAAAAGAAACCAUAAUAUAACUAAAAUCUUAAUUGUUAACAAAUCUAUUGAAAAUAUUUAUAAGCGGAGCAAAAUUUACUUAAUGGACCUAAAUAAGCAUUUAUUCGUACCUACUAUAGAUUUCUAUUUGAGUAUAUCACAAAUAGAAACUAAAUAUUAUGUUGUAUAUAUUUAUAAAUAAGUUAGAUCGUUCUACUAUAUUUGAAAAUAUCUCUAACUUUAAUACAAAUAGUUAUAGAAUGCAACAUCCACGUAAUAUAAAUUAUAAAGAUAUGUGUAUACUUUUACAGACACACAUCCAUAUUCUAAUUAAUUAAUGUUAAUCUUAGUAAUAAUCUAGCAUUAUUACAAAGGCUUUUAAAAAAAAGGUAUUGGUCCUUAAUUAAUAUACAUAAUAAUUAAAAAGAUGUAAUCUUUUUAAGAGUAGAAAGCAUAUUUUAAUUCUUCAUACUUUAUUCAUAUUUGCUUUAUACCUUUAUGCUGCCUACUAUUUUCAAGACAAAAGUGUUCAAAACCCAUAUUUUAAUAAUUAUAAUCAAUAUUAAAGUUUUAUUAUAUUAAUUAAUACUCUUUUACUUUUACAAGAAAAUAAAAGAAAAAAAAAUUACAAAACAAUUUCCUACUUUUCGUUUUCAAAACUAUUUUUUAAUCGGACAGCUGUUGUUUAUGGUAAAUUAGAAUCGUUAAUUAAUUAAAAUAUUGUCAUUUAAUAAAGAAAAGAAUUAUCCAUAAAGUUAAUCAAAAUGUUAUAUUAAGCUAUUAAUAAUGUUUACUCUUACUUUUUACCCCCACCCCACCAUGACAUGUCAAAUAAGUUACCACUAAAGUAAAUAAUUAGAAAAUAUAUAUAUUUAAAAUAACGAACAUAUUUCAAACUAUAUGAUGUUUGUACUAAUAACAGUAAUAACAAAUGAAUGCGAUGUUGGUACCAUUAACCUCGAAUGUAAAAGUUUGAUUCUCUUACUUCAAAUACUAAUUUGAUACCUUUAAAAAAAUGAUGGAAAAAAAUGUAACUCGACAACUAAUACUCUAUAAGGCGUUUGAGACAAAAGAUUAUUUAAGACUAUAAUAAUCAUUUCUUGCUACAUGCAUGCAGUAAAUAUAUGUACUUUCUAAUUAGCUACUGUUAACUUUAUUUUUAAAAAUCUCGUAUUUGAUACGGUUGUUACUAUUUCACAUUCGUUAUCUUUUAUCGGUUCAGUGAUUACUAUUUUUUAUCAAACUAAAAUAAUUUAUAUCUCAAAGACACAAAAACAAACUAUUAUAGCAAUUAACUAUAAUAAUCUAACACACAUCUUGUUCCAUGUUCUUCCUUAGUAAAUUUUUGAAAACAAAUGAGCACAAGAUAGUUUAAGUUUAUAGAAGAAAUUAUGUUUGUGUUAAAGUUGUAAACAUAUAAAUUAUUGUUUGAAGAAUUGAUUAAGUGUGUUUGAUUGAGAUUGUAAAGUGUUUAAUUUUGCCAAAAAAAAUUGUAGUGUUUGACACGUUAUUUCAACACACAAACACAAACUACGUUUUUCUCUUUCAUUUCUCACUUUUACUAAAAAAAACUUUUUUUUCUCCUUUCUUUUUCAUUUUCUUUCUAACAAAUUAUUAAAUAUUAAUAUAUAAUUUUUUUAUAACAAAAUACUAAAAUAUUUACGGUACAUUGAUAAAAUCAAAAAAACUAUAAAAGAUAUUUAAGAAUUUAUUUGACAAAAAUUAAGAAUUUAAAAGAAUACACCAAACAUUUUAUAAAAUUUAGAUAGUAAUAAAAAAACAUCUUUAAAAAUGAUAGACUAAACUUUGUAUAGUUAGGAUAAGUUUUAUGUGUCAAAAAAAAAAAAACUAUUUAUGAAAUGUAACAUUAGAAUGAAGAGAGUUGGAUGAAUUUGGUGAUAUUAUAUUUAUUGUUUUUGAAAAUAUAGGUUUUAGUUAAACUAAAAGUAAGUUGGGAAGGUAUACAAAUAUGAAUUUUAGAAUUGAUAUUAUAUUUAUAAGAAGUAAUUAAUAAGUAGGUUUUAGUUUUAGAAAAAUGAUGAAAAUGGAAAAAUGAAGUAUCAAAUUUUGAGAUAAGAAUGAAAGUAAUUUGUAAUUAAAGAAUGGGUAGACCGACAAAGCAUGGAUGUGAGCAAAGUAAAGUUUGGAGUAUUUUUCACUUUCAUUAUUACAAAUAUUUUGAGAGACAAUAAUCAGACAACUUUAAUGUAAUGGAAAUCAAAGUAGAAAUUUACCUUUUUACCCUCUCUCUCUCUCUCUCUAUAUAUAUAUAUAUAUCCUACUCAUUAUCAACAUAAGCAUGCAAUGUUAAUUUCAACUUAAAAACAAAUAUUAUUACUUUUUUUUUACCUUUAUAUAUAUAUAUACUUCACAUAAUUUGUUCUAUACUUUUUUCAUUAAUUGAAACUCAAAAUAACUUAAUAAGUGAAUUAUAUCAAUUUUGAACUCAAAACUUAAUAUGUGGGGUUCUACAUUCUUAAUGAAAGAUUCCUCACUUUUUCUCCUUUUGUUUUUGCUAGAUUGUUCAUCAAUCUUUUUUCUUCUUUUUAAGUUUAAACUUAUUUUUAUACUCUAGGUUUAUUUGCUACGAUUUCUAAAAACAAAAAAAAAAAAAAAGACGAAG